Molecule: long non-coding RNA, 48260 nt
Filed under: Malus domestica (apple)
Lineage: Eukaryota; Viridiplantae; Streptophyta; Magnoliopsida; Rosales; Rosaceae
Description: long non-coding RNA (MDOM_LNC006194)
Source: RNAcentral
AUCAAUCAAAUUGAAGGGAGUGGUGUGGUUAAAUUACAAAAUGAGCAAAAUGAAGCUAAAGGUUCAUGUGAAGCGCCCGCAGCCAUGGGUAAGAGUGCAGUUGGAUUGAAUGCACUAAGUGUGGAGGGAACAAGGGACGUGACUGAGACAUUGGAUCCGGAAGCGAAUAUAAAGGUAGGGUGGCAGAAAGUUGAAGAGAGUUGGGUGGCACGAAGUAAAACUGAACAUCCAUCACGUACAGUUGGACUGGAUGCAAUGAACAUGCAGGUGGGAGCAAGGAGUAUGGAGGAGACCUCUGUAAGUGAUGUAGAGCCGGGGCUCAAGCGAAUUCAGCGCAAAGAAGUAUCCAAACUUGAUGCGCCAUUUAGGGUAUUGGGGAAGGAUGUUCUUAAGGAUGAGGAAAAUGAGGAACUUGAUGAGCAAGUGGAAGAUCAUCAUGACAGGAAGAAGAAAGGAGAUGAGUCUGUGACCGGUGCAAGUGGAGAUGGGAUGGCGAUUUGUAAAGCUGAUGGGUGUGCAGCCGAUCUGAGUGAUGCAAAGGCGUAUAAUAGAAGGCAUAGGGUGUGUGAACUUCAUUCGAAGGCUCCACUUGUGAUUGUGUCUGGUCUAAAGAGAAGGUUUUGCCAUAAUUGCAGCAGGUUUGGCCUCUCAACCUAGUUUUAUAAUUAUCGCACUGCUAAUUUGUUUGCUUCUAUGAUUUCAAUCUGACUCCACUCAAAGUUGUUUGGGAGCAUAUGCUCCUAUCAACUUUACCCGGGACACACAAAAGAAGUACUUUGAUCCUAUUAGACGGGGGAGGGUGAAGAAGCUAGGACAGAAGGGUAGAGUUCAAGAGAGCAAAAUGCGUUUAGGAACGUGGAAUAUAGGAACCUUAACGGGAAAAUCUAUGGAAGUAGUGGAAGUUAUGGUGAGGAGAAGGAUAAAUAUUAUGUGCCUACAAGAAACUAAGUGGGUCGGUAGUAAGGCAAAGGAUCUAGAAAACUCAGGGUUUAAACUUUGGUAUUCGGGCACACAUAGAACGAGAAACGGUGUUGGCAUCAUCGUGGACAAGACCUUGGUACAAGAUGUUGUAGAUGUCAAGAGGGUAGGAGAUAGAAUCAUGGCAAUCAAGAUUGUAAUAGGACAAGAACUUAUCAAUGUGAUUAGUGCGUACGCACCUCAAGUAGGGUUGGAUACGAGGUCGAAGGAGAAAUUUUGGGAAGAUCUUGGAGACUUGGUGCAAGGAAUUGCUCAGACGGAGAAGUUAUUUAUAGGAGGAGAUUUAAAUGGACACGUGGGCAGGGAGACAGGCAACUAUGGAGGUUUUCAUGGUGGCCAUGGUUUUGGGGAGAGAAACGAGAAUGGGGAAGCUAUCUUGGAUUUUGCAAUGGCAUUUGAUCUCUUCUUAGCCAACACCUUCUUUAAGAAGAGAGAAGAACAUGUGAUCACCUACAAGAGUGGGUCGUCAAAAACACAAAUAGAUUUUCUUCUAAUGAGGAAAGGGGAUCGUAUAACUUGUAAGGAUUGCAAAGUUAUACCAGGAGAGAGCGUGGCUAAUCAACAUCGCUUGUUGGUGAUGGAUGUACAUAUCAAAAGAGUGAGACAAAAGAACAAGACUUGGAAGUGCCCAAGGACUAGAUGGUGGAAUCUAAAAGAAGAAAAACAAGCCAUUUUCAAAGAGAAAGUAAUCACCAAGUGUGUGUGGGAUAGAGAGGGGGAAGCUAGCCAAAUGUGGGAUUCCAUGGCUAGUUGUAUCCGAAAAGUAGCAAAAGAGGUAUUAGGAGAGUCCAAGGGCUUUGCCCCACACCAAAAGGAAUCUUGGUGGUGGAAUGAGGAGGUACAAACAAAGGUGAAGGCUAAGAAGGAAUGUUGUAAAGCCUUAUAUACAAGGAUAGGACUGAUGAAAAUGGUGAAAGGUAUAGAAAAGCGAAGCAAGAGGCGAAGAAAGCUGUGAGAGAAGCUAAGUUAGCGGCUUACGACGAUAUGUAUAAACGACUAGAUACCAAAGAAGGAGAGUUGGAUAUCUAUAAACUAGCUAGAGCAAGGGAAAAGAAGACAAGGGACCUAAACCAAGUGAGGUGCAUCAAGGAUGAGGAUGGAAAAGUUCUUGCUACAGAGAAUGCGGUUAAAGACAGAUGGAGAGGUUAUUUUCAUAAUCUUUUCAAUGAAGGACAUGAAAGGAGUGCUUCUUUAGGGGAGUUGAGUAACUCAGAAGAGUGUAGAAACUACUCUUUUUAUCGUCGAAUCCGGAAGGAAGAAGUGGUUGUAGCUUUGAAGAAGAUGAAGCAAAGAAAAGCAAUAGGCCCAGACGAGAUACCAAUCGAAGUGUGGAAAGUUUUGGGAGAGACAGGUAUAACAUGGCUCACUGACCUUUUCAAUAGGAUUUUGAAAACGAAGAAGAUGCCAAAUGAGUGGCGAACAAGCACUUUAGUGCCUAUCUACAAGAAUAAGGGCGACGUACAAAAUUGCAUGAACUAUAGGGGUAUUAAGCUAAUGAGUCAUACAAUGAAGCUUUGGGAGAGAGUCAUUGAGCAUAGAUUGAGGCAAGAGACACGGGUUUCGGACAACCAAUUCGGGUUCAUACCAGGGCGCUCAACCAUGGAGGCAAUCUAUCUCUUACGAAGAUUGAUGGAAAGAUAUAGAGAUGGGAAAAAGGAUUUACACAUGGUCUUUAUAGAUUUGGAGAAAGCGUACGAUAGGGUCCCAAGAGACAUUCUUUGGAGGAUUUUAGAGAAGAAAGGAGUACGAGUAGCAUAUAUCCAAGCUAUAAAGGAUAUGUAUGAAGGAGCAAAGACUGCCGUAAGAACUCAUGAAGGACAAACUGAAAGCUUUCCCAUAACUGUAGGAUUACAUCAAGGCUCAUCCUUAAGUCCUUACCUUUUUGCGUUGGUAAUGGAUGAGUUAACAGGACAUAUUCAAGAUGAUAUUCCUUGGUGUAUGCUUUUCGCAGACGAUAUAGUGUUGAUAGAUGAAACUCAGGAAGGGGUAAAUGCAAAGCUUAACCUUUGGAAAGAAGUGUUGGAAUCUAAAGGUCUUCGCCUAAGCCGAUCAAAGACAGAAUAUAUGGAGUGCAAGUUCAGUGCAAAUGGAGGCCAAAACGAGUUAGGGUGUGAGGAUCGGUGAUCAAGAAAUACCAAAGAGCGAUCGUUUUCGUUACCUAGGAUCUAUCUUGCAAAAGAACGGAGAAUUAGAUGGAGAUCUCAACCAUAGAAUACAAGCUGGAUGGAUGAAGUGGAAGAGUGCAUCCGGCGUGUUGUGUGACCGCCGUAUGCCACUGAAGCUCAAGGGAAAAUUUUAUAGGACGGCAAUAAGGCCGGCGAUGCUGUAUGGCACAGAAUGUUGGGCGGUGAAGCAUCAACACGUACACAAAAUGGGUGUAGCGGAGAUGAGGAUGCUGCUUCGUUGGAUGUGUGGGCACACGAGAAAGGAUAAGAUUAGGAAUGAGGAUAUCCGGGGUAAAGUAGGAGUAGCCGAAAUUGAAGGAAAGAUGAGAGAAAAUCGGUUACGGUGGUUUGGACAUGUGCAAAGAAGGCCUACUGACGCUCCGAUUAGAAGAUGCGACUAUGGGACAGAGGUUCAGGGCCGAAGGGGUAGAGGAAGACCUAAGAAAACUUUGGAAGAGACUCUAAGAAAAGACUUAGAGUACUUGGAUCUAACGAAGGACAUGACACAGGACCGAGCACAAUGGCGUUCUAAGAUUCAUGUAGCCGAUCCCACUCAGUGACUUGGAUUUUCCAAGUCUCCAACCGAGAAGUUUUCCUCACUCAGGAAAUUAAGGGAACACUACCUCAACCUACAUGCUCCACUCAUAAAGCUCCAACAAAAGAAAAUUCAAAGAACUUAGAGAAGAAGGCUUUGGUGUAUUUAACACAAUACGUUGAAAUGAAGGAAAGCUUAUUUAUUGAUAUCCCCGAUAAGCUACAAAUAUGUACAUAUACAUGAGUCAAAAUAAACAAACAAGAGAGAGCCUUCACAAAGGUUGCUUAGGAGAAGUCGCAGCAGUCGGUAGAGCCCCAGAAAGAGAAGGCACUGGAGGGGGAUCAUUCGGAGCCUCAGUACUGGACAGAACCCUAGAAGGAGGAGGCAUCAGAGGUUGAUCAUUUGGAGCUUCAUUACGCGGUACAGCCCCAGAAGACGAAGGCAAUAAAUGCCUUUGGAACAAACCCACAAAUCUCUGAUGAUCAAGUAAAACCUGACCAUCAGAUUCCUUCAUCUGGUCCAGCUUCCUCUUCAUGUUUGUAGCAUAGUCAUGUGCGAGACGGUGCAACUGUUUAUUCUCAUGCUUGAGCCCUCUAAUCUCCUGUUUGAGACUCAUCACUUCAGCCGCCAAUGAUUCAACUUGGCGGGUUCGAGCAAAUAGGCGUUGGGCCAUAUUAGACACAGAACCUGCACACUGAACACUGAGAGCCAGAGAAUCCUUAACAGCUAACUCAUCAGAUCGUUUGGAAAGUAGUCUGUUAUCUUUGGGAGUGAGAAGGUUCCUGGCCACCACCGCAGCGGUCAUAUCAUUCUUCAUAACGGAAUCCCCAACGGUAAGAGGACCAGUAGGGGAGACGAAGGAUGGGCGCCAUAUGUUGUCUGGAGAAGGCGGGGCUGCCUCUUCAACAAGGUUCAAGUCAAAACGACGGUCGGAGGGGCCAGACAUUUUCAAAGGUGUUGAAGAGAGAAAGAGGUCGAACAAAUCAAGAUCUUAGAAGUGUAAGAAUGGAGCUUCUACUGGUGGAGAUUCAAGUGUGCUUUGGAACUUAAUGCCAGCCCCUAUAAAAAUCUGCACUCGACGGAGCUUCAGAAAUCGAAGAGGCGCCUGCUCAGAAAUCGAAGAGGCGUUUGCUUUCUCAAAAGCUGGGCUGCUCAAAGACCACGAGGGUCGAUCUCAGAAAUCGAAGAGGCGUCUGCUUUCUCAAAAGUUGGGCUGCUCAAAGACCACGAAGGCCGAUCUCAGAAAUCGAAGAGGCGCUUGCUUUCUCAAAAGUUGGGCUGCUCAGAGACCACGAGGGCCGAUCUCAGAAAUCGAAGAGGCACCUACUUUUCCAGCCUUGGCAGCACCUGUCACACGCACACUCAGCUUUGCGGAAAUUAUGGGCAUUCUGUCGAAGACUUCUGGUGAAGUAGAAAGCACAUGAGAGUCUUACUGUUCAAUCACCCACUUCCCACACGCAAUAGUAGCUCAUGUGUAUCACAGAUAACUUUGCCAAAGUUCUCUGCCAAAGUUGAGCACGUGAAGCUUGCAGCUUCCACUACAUCGCUCUGACCAAGACGGGUAAAAGAAUAGCAAAGAAACAGCACUAACAAAGUUUAGACACAUAAAUUUUGAAGGUCUAGCUACCCCAUAUUAUUACCCACAAGGGUAAAGGAACAGUAUCACUGCUGGAUAAUUGGAAAGUCCCUGUGUGUCAACCUCUGUGCUUCGUGGCAAGGUAGACUAGCAAACAUGCCCAACCUUUACUCACAUUCGAGAAAACACUCCCAACAAGAUUGCUUGCUCCAAAAUCGAAGAGGCACCGUCCUCCGAAUCUCGAGAGCCAGACUCCCAACAUGACUACUUUCUCAAAAAUCGAAGGAGAGGGUAAAGGAACAGUACCAUUGCUGGAUAAUUGGAAAGUCCCUGUGUGUCAACCUCUGUGCUUCGUGGCAAGGUAGACUAGCAAACAUGCCCAACCUUUACUCACAUUCGAGAGAAAACACUCCCAACAAGAUUGCUUGCUCCAAAAUCGAAGAGGCACCGCCCUCCGAAUCUCGAGAGCCAGACUCCCAACAUGAUUACCUUCUCAAAAAUCGAAGAGACACCGCUCUCCGAAUCUCGAGAGCCAGACCCCCAGCAGGAUUGCUUUCUCAAAAAUCGAAGAGACAUCGUUCUCCGAAUCUCGAGAGCCAGAUCCCUGAUAGGAUUGCUUGUUCGAAAACCGAAGAGGCAACACUUUCCCAACUACAAGAGCCGGAUCUCCUUGGAUAAAGCUGUCUGUAAUCUUCACACGCAACAUCAGCUUUCCACAUACCACAGACCACUUUUUCAAAGUGCUCUGACAGGGUAAAGGAAUAGCAUUACUACUUGUUGUUAAGGAGACUCCUAUAUAUGUCAACCUCCAUCCCCAACGGACAGACAGACCUGCAAAAAUGCUCAACCCUUCCUCAUAUAUGAGAGGGCACUCUCAACGAAGCCUUUCGAAAUAUUCAGCUUUCUUUCUCCCCGAUAAUACCUCUGCAAACAAGUUAUACUAGAGCAAGAAUAUCUCAUAUAUCAUCAGGGUUAAAAGCAAGAGUAUCCCAUAUCAUGCUUUUUCCCUGUCUUUUCCUUUGGCCUUGUUCUUACCUGCAAGACAAGGAGAAAGAGAGCAAUCAGUCAGCACUUGGAAUCAAGCUUCCAGCCAGGAACUGACUGCCUGGAACUUACUUACCUGGCAUUGCUCUCGAGUACUCAUCUUCAACAUCUUAUGCUUCCAGGGAAGAUACCGCAUCUGCCUGAGGAACAGAUAGGGCAAGUGAGAAGGAUACAAGGAAGCAUGUGGAGACAAGCGUAACAGCACACGUGCCGAUACAUCCAUUACUCUGUCAAAGCAAAAGUAUCCCAUAUCAGUAGGGUCGAACGUACUCUAGAUUUGAUGGACUUGUUUUGACCCUCAAAUUCUUCAGUCGGCCUUAUACUCUGGAGGAAACCAGAAAAACCCUCCAGCUCAGUUCAAGAAUAAGCCUGUGGAAAGUUACUUCUUCAAAAGCAAAAGUAUCCCAUAUCAUCUCUUCUCAUUUUUCUUCUCUUUAUCCUUCAUGCUGCCUACAAGAUAGGGGAGAAUGUGAACAAUCAGCUGGAGCUCUGAUUGCUUACCUUGUCUGUCACCUCUUUCAGCAAAUCCCCUAGCUCGGCAACUUGAGGGACUCCUACUACAUGGUUUGUAUCGCGCUUGACCAAGCCUGAAACUACAAAUAAGCUUCAAGUGAAAUUGAUACAUUACCUUGUGCAUCUCCACCAGUUAAAGAUACCACCCCUGGAUGGAGGAAGAGUACUUCCAGAGAAGAUGCCACAUCUACCUGUGAGACAGAUAAGGCAAGUCAAGACGAUACCACAUUCCGAUACUUAGAAGUUUCGUGAUUACGAGAUCAUUCUCCCACAAUAUUUCCUAAUGUCAUUUGUACUAAAUCAUUCACCUGUACUCACUAAAGGAAAGCUUGAACCUAGGUACUUGUGUAAACCCUUCACAAUUAAUGAGAACUCCUCUAUUCCGUGGACGUAGCCAAUCUGGGUGAACCACGUACAUCUUGUGUUUGCUUUCCUAUCUAUAUCCAUUUAUAUACUUAUCCACACUAAUGAUCGGAGCAAUCUAGCGAAGAUCACAAAAAGCGACCGUUUUCGCUACCUAGGAUACAUCGUGCACGAGAACGGAGAAUUAGAGAGAUCUCAACCAUAGAAUAGAAGUUGGAUAGAUGAAGUGUAAGAGUGCAUCCGGCGGGUUGUGUAACCGUCGUAGGCCACUGAAGCUCAAGGGAAAAUUUUAUAGGACGGCAAUAAGGCCAGCGAUGGUGUAUGGCACAGAAUGUUGGGCGGUGAAGCAUCAACACGUACACAAAAUGGGUGUGGCGGAGACGAGGAUGCUUCGUGGGAUGUGUGGGCACACAAGAAAUGAUAAGAUUGGAAAUGAGGAUAUUCGAGGUAAAGUAGGAGUGGCCGAAAUUGAAGGAAAGAUGAGAGAAAAUCGGUUCCGGUGAUUUGGACAUGUGCAAAGAAGGCCUACUGACGCUCCGGUUCGAAGAUGUGAUUACGGGACAGAAGUUCAGGACCAAAGGGGUAGAGGAAGACCUAGGAAAACUUUGGAAGAGACUCUAAGAAAAGACUUAGAGUACUUGGUUCUAACGGAGGACAUGACACAAAACCGAGCGCAAUGGUGUUCUAGGAUUCAUAUAGCCGACCCCACUUAGUGGGAAAAGGCUUUGUUGUUGUUGUUGUUGUAUGAUUUCAAUCUGGUUUGGUUUUCUAAUUUCAGUCUUAGUAAUUUAGUUAGUUGUCCUGAAUCUAAUUGUUGUGUUGUAGAUUUCAUGAUCUAUCAGAAUUCGAUGACACCAAACAAAGUUGUCGUAGGCAUUUGCCCUACAUUGAACGCGAUGGUACAGGCACUCAGUUAAAGGACGUAAGUGGUGAUAUAGAUACGGUGAUCAGUCAAACUGAAAGGAGUGGUGCGGUACAAUCACAAAACGACCAAAGUGAAAUUAAAGGUUCAUAUGAAGUGGUGGAAGCCACACCACCAGCAGUUGGAUUGAAUGUACCGAGUGUGCAGGGAACAAGGGAUUCAAGGGAAACGUUGCAGACCUCAGUGUGCAGGGAACAAGGGAUUCAUACAGAGCUAGGACUCAAGCAAAUUCAGGGGAAAGAUGUGUUUGAUUCUGAACCUCCAUACGCUGAAUACAAGGAAACUGAAUACGUACCUCCAUCAGUUACAAUUGACAUGAAUGUGCUUUUGAGAGGAUUGAAGAGGUUUCUUCUUAAUGAAGAGGUGUCAGCGGUUGUGCUAACGGGUCCUGGGGGAAGCGGGAAAACCACAUUAGCAAAAUUCUUCUGUGAAGAUGAGGAAGUCAAAAAUAUAUUCAAGAACAACGUCUUCUUUGUUCAUGUUUCAGAAAAUCCUAACUUGAGCCUUAUGGUACAAACACUAUAUCAACAGAUGGGUUUCCAGAUACCUGCGUUGCAAAACGAAUCAAUUGCACUUCACUGGUUGCACCAAUUUCUCAUGGAAACAGCACUGCACCCAUCAGUGUUGGUCUUGGAUGAUGUUUGGCCUGGAUCAGAAUCCCUUCUUGACAAGUUUGAUGAAUUCAAAACACCAAAUUACAAGAUUAUGGUGACAUCAAGGUUUGAAUUUCCGGCAUUUGGUUUUCCAUAUUAUCUGAAACCACUGAAUGCUGAAGAUGAGAUGACUCUUUCUCAUCAUUCCCGCGCACACAACAUAGAAUUACUGGAUGAUGAAGACCUGAUAUGUGUUUCUCCACCACCCAUCACAUUUGAUGAUGAAGACCCGAUAACUCAUUUUCCUGAUUCCUCCGCAUCCUACUUGGGAGACGGAAGCUCUCAUGUUUCAACAGCUAUAAGGCCAAUGGAUCAAUUUCAUGAUUCCUCCGCAUCAACCUUGGGAGAUAAAAGCUCGUAUGUUCCAAAAGAUGCAGGGACAAUGGUGAGUUCUUAGUCUGCAAUGAACACCUACAAAUUCUCAUGCUUUCGUUUUUUUCGUUUGUGUAAACGCGUUCAUACUCUUACCAACGAGGCUCAGGUGCUUAUCCAACUUUAACAUGCUCUCUUUGUUUCGAUUUAGUUUGAGCCCGACAACCCCGUCAAGUCUAAGCAGACAUAUAUGCAGCAGAAGUUGGAACUGAAGGUGAGUGCCAGUGACAAAGCAAUGAAGAAAGUCAUGAAAGCUGUCCACGCCAUAAAGGGUAUUCUAAUCUUUCUUGCCUAGUUUUGUUAACAGCACUUUAUAUGAGACGAAUACAAAGUAUUAUGUAACGAAACCGUUUCAUUUUUUGGGUGAUUUGGAUGAGCAGGGGUUCAUUCGACCAGUUGGGACGCGGAGAACCAGAGGCUAACAGUGAUGGGGCAGUUGGAUCCGGCGCUAAUAGCUACUAGGUUGAGAAAGAUUGCUUCGAAAACAGAGGUAAUAUCAGUUGGGCCAGCGAAGGAAGAGAUCAAAGAAGACAAGAAAGAUAAAUUGACCGAGAGAAAAGGCGAUAAGAAAGCUAGAAAUCUCACUAUGAAAGAGAAAAUGGAAGACAAGAACCAAGAAAAGAAAGAGCGAAGUCUUACCGUGAAAGAGAAAAUGGAGUUCGAUAAAAGAGAUGAGGAAGAGAGACUUCUAGAUGAGAAAGAGAGAGUCAUUACACCCAGGUGACACAGCCGUAAGAAAUCUCUCUUCCGGCUCCUCCGGUGGCUGUCCUUGUAUUUUGUUUGUAAUCUGUAAAACGAUAAAAGGGAAUUAAAGAAGCAAUCAUCCAAGAACUCUGCUUCAGAUGCCAACGAUAUCAAGGGUGAAGAUCAGAUAAACGUACAUUUUUCGAUCAAUGCUGUAAAUGUUUCAGAUAGCAAAACAGAAAACAGGUGGUAAUGUUGUACCGUGUUCCUGCUAGGGUGUAUCAUAUCUGCAUUUUUCUAAGACAUUCAUUUUAUUCUUAAUUAUCUUUCAGGUUUUGGUACAUCCAUUUGCUUUAAGGUUUAUAUACGCCGCGAUCAUCUAUACGGUGCUGUGAACUACCUUGUUUCUUGGAAAUGAAAAAUUCGAGAAUCUGGCACAUUGCCGAUUGCAUAAAUCGCCCAAAACAACCUUACUCUAGCACUACAAACAUAUUCUCUAGCAUUUCAUCUUCGAUUUGCCCGUCAGGGAUGGGAGAUGCGCGGCAACCAUGUCAAGAAGAAAGCAGAGCUUGCCGAGAAACCAACCAGCCCAAUGUUAAAGGAUUAGUACUGGCUUCAUCAGCUGACUUGAAAUCGAAGCUUAGAGAAUCAGGUAACUUUGAUCCCCACCUCCAGGCGAAAGUACUGAAAGUGGUUGAUGUUUCUUAUGGAGGAGAGGAUGGUUUCAAUCAGGCUGUUAAGUUGUCGGCGGAGUUUCUGUCCAACGUGAAAUUUAUACAGGAGCACAACUUGCUAGGAAGACACCUUGAAGAGGUUAACCAUGGGCGUAGAUGACACGCUAAAGGCUUUGGAGAUGGGAGCGAUUAACACACUUAUUGUGAGGGAAAAUCUUGACAGCAAUAGGUAUGUGUUAAAAGAACUCGAAGGCCGAUGAGAUUGUUGUAAAACAUUGCGACUUUCGAUAUCUUGGCAGCCAAGGAGAUCUAGAGGUUCAGGAGAGGAUCUCACUGCUGAAAUGGUCUGUUGACGAGCACAAGCGUUUUGGUUGUGAUCUUAAGUUUGUCACCAACAAAUCACACGAGGGUCGCAGUUCUGUCAAGGUUUGGAGGCAUUGGAGGGUUACCGAAUGAGUAUUUCUAGCCAGCUUACUGAAUGAAUUAUUCACAUCUUAUUCAAAUUAGUAAUAUGCCAGUUCCAGAUACAAUAUUCACACAACAGACACAAGGAAUCCACAACGAACAACAACAAUUGAAAUCUUCAAUUGUUAAGAAUUUGACAAGCUAAAUACAAGCACGAGCAUCCAUACACUUACAUUUGACAUGCAGAUGGAUGAACUUGAAAGCCUUCACAGAUGCUACCAGUUUUCCUUGACUAUCUUCGAUUUCUCGAGAAUGAAUUUCCCUUCCUUGUACUUCUGUGUUUGCUCAUAGGCGCGUUCAUACUUCCAACCCAGCACCUCAUGGCAGUCGCAGCAGGAGACAUCAGCGACCGUGUGCAGACCAGUCAUGAGUUGUCUGUCUUCUUUUGGCCCGACUGUAAUGUUCAUUGCAUGUGAAAACAGAAACGCUCGACCAUUUCUACCCUAUGAUUUAAUAAAAUAGAUAGUCGAAUCAUGUUUCUUGCAAUCUACUCAACAUACUCAAAUCCUGAAGACUAUCGUUUACACACACAAUAACCAUAUGAACAAUGCAGAAAAUAGAAACUCUCAACCAAACACAAGACAACCACUCGGCUCCUGGCAUAGAUAACCAAGUACAAAUUGAAUCUUCAUUUCAUUUUCAACAUGCAAAAAGGAAAAAUCUUUAUUCCUCAUUUACUCCAAAAUUCCAAAUGUAGGGAACAGUAGACACCAAUUCAUCUCAAAAUAAGAACAGAGAUUCGUUAGUUAAUUGAGUAUGAACUGAAUCUUCACUUCAAAUUAGGAAAAAGCUAAAAUUGUAUUCCUCAUUUACUCCAAAUGGCAAAUGUGAUGAAAAGUAAACACCAAUUCAUGUCAAAACAAGAACGGAUGAUCGUUAGUUAAUUGAGUAUGAACUGAAUCUUCAUUUCAAAUUAGGAAAAGUCUAAAAUUGUAUUCCUCAUUUCCUCCAAAUGUAGUGAAAAGUAAACACGAAUUAAUUUCAUUGUAAAGACCGGAUUUUUAUUAGUUACCCAAUAAGCAUAAUGAGAGGCAAUCAGAAUAUCCACAACAACUUGAUCAAAGUAAAGUUGUUCACCUGGAAGGCUUUCGAAAUGACAUCGUCGUGAAGGGCAACAUGGUUUCGGCAAUUGCAGCAGCUGUACAACCUCGGCCCAACCAAUUCCGCCAUCGAUAAUCGAGAAAACUACGAACAAGACCAGACCCCUUAAAGCCAAAAUAUACAAAAUCAAGACCCUCCCCUUACAGAGCAUCCAGCAAUCGGCAUAACUUCUUAGCAAAAAAUCAAAAUUACAAAAAUUCAGGAGUAACAAAAUGCUUGCCUUUUUAAACCAAAAGAUAUUGGUCUAUAUGAUUUUGGAUAUCAACUAAUCUUGUACGCAAUUUCUGUUGACAGAACAAAACAGGACAGUGAUUACGUGAAGAAUCAAACAACUUAAGCCAAUGAUUAAGAGCAGUAAUGGUGAUCAGUUAAGCCAAUAAUUGCACAAAAACCCAACUUCUAAAACCACCACAAGAUCAGAAACAAGGUAAAACUAAAUCACAAUAAUUGGAAAUGAAUCGUGGCUUAAAAAUAAAACCCAGAAUUUAAAAAGUGAAAAUUUUGAAACUUUUUCAUUAAUUAUGAAAUGGGCAGUGGAGUGAUCACCUGAAAAUGCACGCGAUAUUGAAGAUGUGAAGAUUAAACGGAUGGAUUAAGAUUGAUUAAGAGUUGUACCUAACCAGUGUGCCAUGGUGCCUUUAGAGAGAGAGAGAGAGAGAGAGAGAGAGAGAGAGAGAGUUUAAUCGUAGUAGCAGUAAAGGAGAGAUGCGUCAGUGUUUGGGUGAGGAAGUAGGAUUCUCUUUUUUCGUUUUUUAUCUUCUCUAGGGGUGGGUUCAAAAAACCGAAAACCGAAAAAAAUCGAAAAUCAAACCGAAUCGAAACCGAAAAAAUCGAAUCGAACGAAAAAACUGAACCGAAUUAAAAAAUCAAACCGAACCGAAUUCUUUUGGUUCGGUUCGAUUUUAGUGAUCUAGAAACCGAACCUAACCGAAUUAAUUAAAUUAAUUUUUGUAUUUAAUUAUUUGUUUUGGGUAUUAUUUUCUAAACCCAAUUUGUAAGUUAAAAUGUGCUAAACUCAAUGUGUUGCCAAACUUUAAGCUCAAAAUAUUAAAAAAAAAGCCUAUAAAAACUCUAAACCCUAACUUAUUAUUUCUCCUCCAUAUAAGGUUCCGGAACCCAACCUCCUCCUGAAGUACCUACAUCCAUCUCCAUAGCACUGUCUACUUUUGCCCCAGCUUUCUUUUCCAAAUCUACUCUCAUAUAACAUGUAACAGAAUCCAUAAACAUUUAUUUUGGGUUGAUUACUUGAGUAAUUUGUGAUGGAAAAGAAUCCAACACACACUAAAUAAAUUCACCCACUCAUUACUUUUACUAAUCAAGUUGUCAACAUACAGUUACAAGCAAACAACCUUGAUCUUUGAACAACAUCAUACAAUUUAACUUUUCUAAGUCAUUUGUACGAUUUUUGUGUUGUGAGGUUGUUAGUUUGGACUUUGGAAGACUUGAUUGAUGAUUUUAGUUCAACUUUAAAUGUUUAUUGUCUUUGAUUUUAGUUAGAAUGUUUAUGUUAUGAUUGUAUUGGAGAUGUUAAAAUUUUAAAUUUCAAUGUUUUUCAUUUUUUGAAAAAAUAAAACAAAACAAAAAACCGAAACCGAACCGAAAAAAAAAUGAACCAAACCGAACCAAACCGAAAUUUCGGUUUGGUUUCGAUUUUGGCAAAAAACCAAACCGAUUUGAACCGAACCCACCCCUACUCUUCUCUUAUUUGAAUAAUUACGAUUAAGUCACAUCAAUAUCUUAUAUUAAUUUUAUAUAAAAAGAUAAAGAUAAAAUGAGAAUGUAAAAGAAGGAAAGAGAAGGAGAAAAAGAAGAUGAAAGAGAAUUCUACCCCUGUGUCUUAUGAUAUGAGGUUAUCUUAGGAAUGAUAGUGGGUAGAGAAAUAGGGUUUAAUUUUUUAACUUUUGGUGGUGGGUGGGGUUAUAAUGUGGGUGAAGAAAUAAGACAUUAGGAUGGGUCUAGUAACCCAUCACACAGAAAACACCAAACAGUGAAACCCUAAAGAAGCUACAAUCUCUGUAGCUACUGCCUCCAUGACAUAGCUCUUGCUCCAUGACAUGAUCAACACAAUAUGUCGCCCCCUUGACCACUUGCGAGUGUCCCAUUCUUGAGUAAAAGUAAGGUUGCAUCAUCUUCCCAGGACCACCACAACAACGAUCGCUGCCACAUGACAUAGGAAGUCCACAAGAAGAAAGAUCCCACAUGCAACAUCACUAACAAAGGUGAACAGCAGGAAGGGCUAACAAGGGUUAACAAAGGUGAUGGUGCGAACACCCAAGCCGAAACUCUAGACAUCCUCCCUAAAAUCCGUGACAAAUUGCGAAAGGGGUGUGUAGAAGUGUGAUUCCACACAUCCCUUUUUACUUCUCUCACACUUUUUUAAUUUUCGGUCGUCGGAUCGGAUGAAUUGAAGAAGAUUAACGGACAUAAAUUAACAAGGGGUGUGUGAGAAGUAAAAAGAGGUAUGUGAAUAGCACACCCCAUUGCGAAAAACACAUACGGUAAUCGAUCAAACUUGUAAAUGGAUGGGAAGAUGAUGGAACCCACUGAUGAAGAUGAUGGGGAGAGAUGAAUUGUGGGAGAUGGAAGAAACUGGUGAUUUGGAUUUGGGGUAAAGCGAUUGAAAUCAAAGGCAAGAAAAGCAGUAAAGUGAUGAUAGCUGCCACCGACCCUAGCUAAGACUACGGUCAGCGAUGAUAAGGAAAGACUAAAGACAUGUCAUUUCAAUCAUCAGCCACAUGUCUUUUUACUUAAUUCUAGUUAAUUUUUACAUUAAAAAUUACUUUUACAAUUUUGAAAAACAAAAAUAACCAAGGUUAAGGGAAAUGACACGUGACAGAUGAUUAUGUGUAUGAUGAACAUAUACUAUAGUUUAUGUUUAUGAUCAUAAGCAAAAAUGCUCACUUAGUCAUUAGAGAUAGUUCGAUCAUUUAAUCUCAAUAAAAAUAGUAGAAUUAUGAGGAAUGAGUUCAUUCACAGAAUAGUGAGAAGGACUCUCACCGAAAGAGAGAGCAAGGACUUUCACCGACACUAUUUAUAUAGUUUUGCAUUCAUUAUCAUGCCUGCAUUUGGGAUCCUUACAUAAAUUAAAGGCAGUGUCUCGUGCACAUUAUUAUUUGUAUAAAAUAAAUUUUUUACUACUUAAUUGUUUAUUUCAUUAGAACGACAAACAUUUUUUUAUGAGACAAUUUGUCACACGUUAUUGUAGUACAAUUUUUUUUAAAUUUAUGUACACCAAGAAGAUGCUCUUAGCUCUGAUGAUUGCAUCUCGAGUCCCCAUAAAUUAAAGGCUAGGUCUCUUGCAUAUUAUCAUAAUUUCCUUAUCUGUUUAGAGAGCAACGUGGCCUGAUAUUGGACAAUAUUAUAUGGGAUAUUACAAAUACAUGCAAGUUCCAACACCGGCAAUAAUGUCAAUUUCGGCAAUUGUAUUAUGACGCUAGGAAGACUAAAAUUUUAAAUUAAAUUUAUAAAUCAAAUGAUGUGUACUUAAUAAGAUACAAGUACAUUAACUGACAUUUAAUUAAUAAUUCAAUCAUCAACAACUAUAUCAUUUGAUUUUAAAAUUUUGAUUUCACUAACAUUACCUAUCGAAAACAACUACAACUUUUUAAACUUAAGAAUACUUUUUUCAAGUCUUAAACUUAAAAACACAAUACGCGAGUUUUUGAAGUUUUUUAACUCAACCAACCUCUGCCCCCUCUUUGAUCCUCCUCUCUCCUUGCCCUCUCUCACUCUCCAAUAUUUGUCGCUCUCUCUCACUCUCUAUCCUCCAAUUUUACAGAUAUGUUGUCUCUCCUGUCGUUCUUCAAUUUCUGCCUCUCCUCACCAGAAUCACUAAAUCAAGUUUAGCCUCUACGAUCUCAUUUGUCCAAUAAACCUCUUCGACUCAGUCAUCGACAUUGGGUCGAUUUUGAACCGCAGUGAGGGUUUUUUCUACACGCCAGCUGCCGUUGCCGUUAUUGUGGAGCCAAAAAUAAUUCAAAAAAUUAUGAAGAUGCCAUUUGGAUUUUUGGUUUAAAAUGACAAAAUUAUCCUUAAGGCACACCAUAAUUCCCACGUGCAUGCAACGAACAUAACCACUCAAUCAAGGAAGAGUCAAAGAUGAUCAAUAUGGUAUUUAUUCAAAUCUCUCUCAUCACUCCUCAUCAAUCCCUUGUUGAUUUUAGGCCUUUUAGUCAAAAUGAUCACUAAGAUUUGCAUAACUCCUCACUUUGGUCCCUGAUAUUUGAAAUCGAUAAAAUUGGUCCCUGAGUUUGUCCAUGAUCAAUCAUUUUGGUCAUUCCAUGAAAACCUCUAUUAAAUAAGAGUAAAAUGACAAAUACCCUCAAUUUUUGUCAAAUCAUUUAAAUCCUUAUUUAACAUAAUUUUUACUAAAAGACCAAAAUGAUUGAUAGUGGACAAUCUCAAGAACCACUUCUAUUGAUUUCAAAUCGUAUGGAUCAAAAUGAGGAGUAAUUGUCAUGAACCAUUUUGAUUAAAAAACCUUGAUUUUAUUCAAAAGGCAACUCCAAAAACUUCCUUUUUAAAUUAGGAAUAAUUGUCAUGUUAAUUGCAAGAUAAUAUUUCACAUAAUAUCUUACAAUUAUUCACCUAUUUAUACCAUAUAUGCCUGAUUUGUUAAUUGCAAGAUAUUAUUUCCCAAAACUUCCUAUUUAAAUUUCACUUUGUCAUGAACAAUUCUAAUGGCCAAUUUGUUAAUUGCAAGCCAUUCCUUUUAUUUCACACCUACAGCCUUGUCUCUAACUGGGCCUCUCUACCCUUAUCUCUAUUUCUCUCCCUAGAGUAGUUGCAGAAGCGUAGAGAUCUUGAUGGUGGUUCGAAUGAGGCUUAUGUAAAGCCCUGUCCAUGGCAGCUAUUUAGCUUCCAAGUCUUAUGUAUCUGUUAGGCACCAGCCAUUGCUAUUGUUGCUUUCUUAACCCAAACCCAGAUUGUGACCGAAAUCUAUAUCAAAACUCAUUCUCCAACCCAAUUCUUUAAUGGGUAUUUACCAUUCACCUUAAAAUUAUAAUCUUUUUUGUGAAUGAUUGAAGAGAUUGGGGUGAAAAAUGAAAAUUUGUAGCAAGAGAGACAGAGGUAGUUAGGGCUCUGACGUUUUGAUUUUUAAUUUGUUUUUUUUUUAAUUAUUUAACGUUUUAAUUUGUUUUUUAUGUAUUUAUUAAAAAAAUAGAGCUUUUCUUUAAUUAUACUAGCAGAGAGCACACACUUUGUGUGUGAAUAAUUUUUCUUAAUAAGUGCUUUUUAAUAUUACAUAAUUACUGUUUUGUCAUCUUAUGUAAAUAUUGUGUAUCAAAAGUGAGGGUAAAAUUGAAAAAAAUAAGUAUAUGAUUGUCAUUUAAAAAAAUGGUAAAAUAGGGAUAUGAUUGUUAUUUUGUCAAAAGGUACAAAAUUACUAUUUUGCCAUCUUUUUGUCAAUAGUGUGUAUCAAAAGUGAGGGCAAAAUAGGAAAAAAAUGAGAAAAAAAAGCUAACAAUGAGGGUUCUCUUAAUAGUAUAGAUGAGUAAAUUAGUAAAUUUAUAAGUAGAGUUUUUACUCAAGGGGUAAUAUGAAAGGGAGUUAAAAUUUCAAGAAAUGUUAGUGUAAAGUUUCAAACAUAAGGGAGUUUUGUGAAAACUUGAUAAAUCUCAAGGUGUGUUAGUGUAAUUAAUCUGAUUUUUUUUUAUACAAUGAUAUGAUUACACUAAGGGAAUGAAAAAAAUAAAUUAGUUGCACCAUCGUCAUUAUGAGAUUCAAACUUAAGAUUUUUCACUCACAAAUAAAAAAAUAUCAUAUAACUAAUGUGUGAGAUUUAUCCUAAAAAAAAAAUACCAAACUUUUAUCUAUAUAUAUAAAGGGAGAGCCUCAGUUUGGUAAAGCAUUCCAAAAUGCCAAGAAUAUCCCUAUGUUUCCUUCACAAUCAAAAACCAAAAAAUCCAAAACAGGAGGACAAACUGGUAAAAAAACUUAUAACCAAACAUAAAACUGUAUUGAAAGAAAAAAACUAAAUUUUUAAUAAAAAUUGAGAGCAAGAAAUACAAAAAAAAAAUAAAAUUAAACGGAAAUUAAACCGAAUACUGGUAAAACAAGUCCACGUAAUUUAUAAUUGACGAAUGCAAUGUUGGUAACUAGUCUUGAUUUAAAAUAAAAAGUUGAAAACACAAAGAGACAGAUGCACUAAAAACACCAAUAAAAAAAAUAAAAAAAUAUUGGAAACUGAGGAAAGAAACGUGGGAGAGAGACUGCUGUUUUCAAACUGCUUACAGUUUAAAGGCUCUCAUGUUAUUGCUAAUGGAAUAAAACAAAAAAAGAAAAUAAAAAGAGACCCAAUACGUUUAGAAUAGAACUGCUAUUCGGCAGUUCCAGGCUUGUAGUUCUCAAUUAUUAAAUUUGUGUGUUUUGUUCUCUAUCAAAAUGCUUCUUAUUCCGUAAUUUGCUCUUGCAUUUUCAUAGGAUUAUUGAAAAUUCUGCACAUUAAUUGUAGUGGUUUAAUUGUGGUUUUUGUUCUCUGCAGGUUUUUCUUCCCUUAUCUUAUCAAAUAAAUCAAUUGAUAGGUUAGGCUUUCAUUUUUUUUUAUUUUUCUUCACAGGACUUUUAGGGUGCGUUUGUUGUACCGGACUAUUUCGGACUGGACUAGCUGCAGGGACUAAGCUGGACUGGCUUAGACUAGACUAAGCUGGACUAACUUAGUGAAGCGUUUGGUGCAGUGUCGGACUAAGAAUAUGAACUAACUAUAGAUUAUUAUUAUAUUUUAAUUUAUUAUUAUCAAAAUUAUUAUAUGAAUAAAAAAGGGCAUAUCCCUCUUCUUUUUCUCGAAUUGCAGGUAAACUCUACAACUUCAACCCAGUCAAACCCAGAAAACAUCAUAAUUUAAUCCAACCCAACAAAAAAGAAAUGGAAAUUUAAUAAAGAAAUGGAAAUUUAAUAAAAAAAAGGCAUAUCCCUCUUCUUCUUCGCGAUGUUCGCCAAGCGCCAAGCGGCUACAAUUCGAAUCUACAGCCAAAAGGACGCAGUCGAGAGGUCGGAGACGACACUCGGAAUAGAACAGGAAAUUUUAUCGAAACCGAAAAUGAGAGGACUUUCGACAGUCCCAACGACCUCUCUCUCUCUGUCUAAGUUACUCACUCCUCCUCGUCGAUUCGAUUUCUAACAGGGACUCUUUCUUCUUCUUCUUCGCUACAAGCAGCAACAACCAAUUGCAAUUUUCUUCCCAGGGCAGCGAAGCAGACGAAGGCGAUAAUGGAUGCAGCGAUAGUGGUCGAAAGCAAGCGAGGACGAUGGAAGGUCUUAGCUGGUCCCGUUGGUUUCGGGGUCUCUCGCUAAGACCGGCUAGUGAAGCCGUUUGUGAAAACGAGUCCCACCUAGUGCCAUUAAUGUUAGUCCCGCAAGCCACCAAACACAAGAUUACACUAAUACUUAAUCCAAUCCAAUCCAGUGAAGGCUAAGAAGGUUAAACAAACGCCCCUUUAAGGACAUCCACAAAUUAAAGUGAUGGAAUCAAAGUCUUCAGGUUUGGAUUUUUUUUUCCUUCUCUUUUUAGAGUAAUUUUUUGGGUUUCUUCUCACGUUUUUUGGGUUCCUUUACCCAGUCCCCCCCCCCCCCCAAAUAACAAUAACAAAUUAGGCUUCUUCAUUUUUAGACUCUCUUGGGGUUGGCAGACAAGGGGUUGCUUGGAUUGAAACCUCGCUGUCUGGCUUCUCCUUUCUUAUGAAAUUUUAUCCCUUUCCUACGGCCAGUUCGUGAAGGUCGUUUUCAAAUUGAGGUUUUGUAUAUUAUGUCGCUUAAGAUUUGAUUCUUUCUAUUUUGGCUUAUUUUUUGUCUGAUUUCUCAAACAAUUUGGCUAAUGAAGAGUUUAUGGAUAUACAAUGGGACAAUAUUAUUUUCUCUAUGUUUUAUGUGUUUAUUUAGUUUUACUGUGGUUUUCAUCUAUGCCUUGAGUUUUGGCUUCUCUAUCUUUUUAUCUUUUGUAGCGUUUUAGGUAAACGGCGAGAAUUAUUCAAGUAUGCGACAUCAUUUUAAUUUCAUGUGAAAAAUCUUCUCUUAUAAUUCUGUUUGAGUGAUUGAAUAUGCAUAUGUGAGCUCUUAGGUUUGGUUCUGUAUUUAUUGUUAAAGAAAAACAGGAAGUGAGGAACACAAUAACCCUACCACGAUUAUGUAUGAAAUAAAUUGGAUCUAUUAAAAACUCAUAUUUGGGUGUGUUGUUAGGAAGAAAUGCCUAAACUCCGAAUUUGUAUGGAACAAAUUCAUUAUAGAAUAGAUUAAUUGUAUGUGUUAUUGCUUGUAGUACAAAAUUGACUUCUUUGCCCUCCUACAAGUCAUAGCUUUGCUAAUAAAUUGAGAACAAUGUUUGAUUUAGUUUUUUUCUUUCUUUUUAUUUUUGUCGAAAUGUCUUAUUUAGUUUAACUCUUUUCAUUUGAUAAUUCCCUUGCCAUUGGUUUGAGAUAUAAAGUAUUUCAUUUCAGUCAUCAAGUCACCUUUUUACUUCUAUUAUGUUGAUUUUUGUCUGUAGGUACACAAAAAUAUGCAGAUUUUGCUUUCAAAUUGAGAGGCCUAAGGACAAUCUCUGUUCAUAGAAAAAAAAGUUGGACAGAGAAGGCAUGGGUAUGGGAACAUGAUUGGUUGUUAUAUUGCUUUGGGACGUUUUGAUAUUUUAGAGAUUAAUGAGUUUGUGGAGAUUUUUCUUUUCACAUCUUGCUUUGUAUUUGAAUUUAAUUACUAUAACUGAACUUACUUUAAAAUUAUAGGACUUCAAAACACGACCAUGGUUAGAAUUAGAGAGGGCCAAGUAUAUAAGUUGAGAAACUAGGCAUUGCAAGUAGGGCUGGUUCGGUAUGGGAUACCGAACCGAAAACAGCAUAUCAAGUUCCAAACCGACUAUUUUUGGGAAGGAAAUCUGAUGGCCGAUCCCAAACCAAAAUUUCGGUAUUCCUGAAGUUCGGGAUUCCUGAAAUAUUUUGUGUAUUUCGGGAUUUCCCGAUACCGAACCUGCAUUAAAAAUUUAAAAUCAGAGACUGGUGAAUCGAUCAAAAUUGAAGGUCGAGAGAGAGAGUGCAAAGAUAGUCAAACCUUCGUCUUUCUCCUGACCCGAGCCUCCAAUUUGAAACCCUAACCUUGAUUUGAAACCCCACACAUAUAAAUAAUCGCUGGAGAGAAUCAGAGGUGGGGAUGAAUUAGUGGUGGUGGCCGGAGUGGAGAGAGUUUGUCGGAGUCUGAUUGUGAGAGGAUGGGUGGGUCUUUGAAUUCGAGAGGAGAGACAGAAAGAGUCUGAGAUUUUGGCGAAAGCAGAGAUGGAGACUUAGGCGAAGGCAGAGAUGGAAGAGAGUGAGAUGGGAGAGAGUCUCUUCUUCUCGGAACCUCGAUCAUUUCCAUCCAAGAGACACUUUGUCCAAGGAGUGAGUCUUUAGACACAUUUCUGCAACUUUCCUUAUUUUAAUAUUAUAUAAUAGGCUACGUUUGCAAUUUGCUUGAUUGUAAUUUAGACAACACACAACAGUCAUGUGCUUUUCUGCACACUUUGAUUAUUUUAGUAAUAUAUAAUUGAUAUUGCAGUUUGCUUUUCUGCAUAUUUUGAUUAUUUUAGUAAUAUAUAAUUGAUAUUACAAUUUGACUUUUCUGCACACUUUGUUCUUUGGCAUGGGAAGUACGAACCAAAAGCAAAAGGAAAAGAAGAUUUCGGGAUUUCGGGAUUACCGAAAACUGAAAUCUGAAAACCAAUCCCAUACCGAAUAUUUCGGUAUUUUUCGCUAUGGAAUUACCAAAGUUCGGGAUAAUUUCGGUUUGGGAUUUUUCGGUUUCGGUUUGGGAUUUUUUCGGUUUAGUUUGGGAAUUUAGGGAAUUUUUUCCAGCCCUAAUUGCAAGUAUAUAAAUUCCAAUUGUAUUAUUGCUAAACCAUAUAUAUCCAAUGUAGUUAAGAAUUAAAUUAAGUACAAACUACAUGGGGAUGGAGAAAGUUAUAUAAAGGGGAGAGCCUAAAAAUACUUUAAGAAUCAAAUACUGCACAAAUUUGAACACUGAUUAGUGCCUCGAAAUGAGGUGUAGUGUGCCUGAACUCUAGUGUGCCGCUUCGGUGCCUGAGUCUACGGGUCGGGUCUUCAACGCGAAAGCGGGGCAGACGUUUCUCGAUUCCUCUUCCCGAUCCUAGCUGUUUGUGGGUCUGGCAGUGCAUGUAGGAAUCGGGAGCUGGGUGACUAUGCGGUCUCUGCGAUGCUUGUGGGAGGGGUCGUUUGGAAGAAGAAGAUCUGAGGGUGGCCUGGGAGUGGGAUGUCAGGAAUCCCUUGGCGGGGUCUAGGGUUUCAGGGUGUUGAUGGGAUUUAGAUCUAGAUCUGGCUUCUGGCACCUUGGGUGAGGAUUGGACACCGCUGGCAAGGAAUGGCUGGUCAGAUAAUGGGCGAGGAUAAACCCAAGAAGGAUAUGGAGGAGCUGGGCUCCCGAUUUGGGGCAAAGCUGAAACUGUUUGAGAAAGAGCUCGGCGGAAUUAGUAUCCAGAGGAAAGAUGUAGAGGGUGCUUUAGUGGGACUCCAGUACACGCUGAUUGCAGAAGUCCUCACUUCUAAAGAGGUAAAUGGGGAAGCCUUCAUUGAUUGCUUCAUGUCUCUGUGGCGGGGGAGGGAAGGAGUUUCUAUAAGAGACAUUGGUGACCGGAGAUUUCUGACAAGAUUUGCGGGUCAAAGGGAUCUACAACGAGUUGUGGAUUCGGACCAGCCUUGGCACUUCAAAAAUGAUUUAGUGAUGGUUGCAGAUUGGACGGACAGUGGACUCAACAGAUGGGCUCCUCUCUCAUCAGGAGUGUUCUGGGUUCAGAUCCACAAUGUCCCUGUUCUAAGCAUGACUCAGGCGGUGGCGGAAUCCAUAGGAGGUCUACUGGGGACGGUCAAAUUGGUGGACAAAUCUGGCAGUAGAGACUGCAUAGGAAGAUUUCUCCAGGUAAAAAUUAAAUUCAACGUCCGUGAACCCCUUAUGCGAGGUACGUUCGUUAACUUUCCUGAUGAAGGCAGAAUGUGGGUUGAUUUUAAGUACGAAGGGCUUCCUAAAUACUGCCUCAUUUGUGGUCUAUUGGGUCAUGCUACUCGGGUGUGUAGAGGCUCUCAAGAUCUAGGAAAGUCAGAUGGAGAACCCAUAGAGGAUUUGGGGGAGGGGUUAGCUUUUAAGGGCCUGGACGUCUUCACGGAUCUGAGGGGUAAACCAUUAGGUGUAGGGGGUAGUGCCAGGACUCCUCGUGGGUCUAGUGGUGGACGCAUGGAUUCUGGAAGAUGGAAAGAUAACCGUAGCGAGGAACUUGAUGGAGGGAAACGAUCUGGCCGAUCAUCCACUGCAUCAGGAAUGGGUAGUCAUUCACAACUUGGGGCUUCGAGAUCGUUCAGUGGGAGUGACUACACUGACAUAGUCAAUGUGGAAGAGGCUGAUACUGCCAUAUCUCCUAACAAACCUCGUUGGUCUUCAAGUAAUCUGGGUAAAGAGAGAUCUAGCCUAGCUGACAAAAUCCGUAAACAACGGCAGGAGGAAGAGGAUGCAAGAAAGGCAAGAGAAGCUGCGUUCGAUGCAGGCUUAAUUGGACCAGGAGGAGUGAUUGCGGAAGGCGUGGAACAUGUCACGCUCUAUGAAAUCCACGAACAGGAGACCCAUGGGAACCUAGCGGACGUGUCAAAUGGAACAGGGCAGAGUUUUGACUUGAAUAGUGAACCAAUUAACAUCGAUGGAAAUGGUGAGGGAAUUAUUGAUAGUGGAGAGGAGUUCGGAAGACUGAUGAGUGCAGAUGGCAACGAUGUGCAUGGAACGAGCAUGGAGAAUGACCCGUUUCAACUGGCCCCAAUAAUUGAGGCAGUUAUGAAGGAACAGAAAGGGAGGAAACGUAACAUCCAGGAAAUGGCGCUAUCAUCGACUCUUCCUCCGGAAGAGCCAACAGUCAGCAGACGAAGGAAAGAUGUUAAUGUUAACGAGGCGGAGGAGACCAGCCGUAAGGGGUCCCCCAAGGAUCCAUGAAGAUAAUCACGUGGAACUGUCAGGGUAUCGGGGGUGACCUGACAGUAGACAAUCUGCUGGAGCAGAACCGGCUUCACACCCCUGACAUGGUUAUUCUGCUGGAAACUAAGAAUAAAAGUCAGAAUUUCAUCCAUCUGAAAAGAAGUUUGGGUAUGGACCACUGGUUUAUUGUUGAGCCUCGGGGCAUUGGAGGUGGCAUAUGUGUUUUCUGGAGAGAUGAUACUCCUGUGGUGUUAAUGAAAUCGGAGGAUUUUUUUGUGGAACUCAAGCUGUGGGAUGAAAAGAUGAACUGUAACUGGAGAUUAUUCGGCGUUUAUGCUAGUACUGAUGAAAAGAAGAGAAGGGAGCAAUGGCAAGAAUUAUCAAAACGCAUAGGCCAAGAAAGGGACCGCUGUCUGCUCAUAGGAGACUUCAACGACAACCUUUGUAACGAUGAGAAGGAGGGAGGAAACUACAGACCGGCUGUGAGCCUUCGGGACUUUAGAAAUUUUAUGGCUCGAGAGGAGCUCAUGGACUUGGGUUACGAAGGAUACCCCUUCACUUGGAGAAAUAAUAGAGAGUCGAUGCCUAUCCAGCAACGCCUUGACCGUGGGAUGGCAACUAUGGGUUGGUACGAAAUGUACCCCAACACAAAAAUUAAGCAUGUGCUCUUGGAAGGAUCAGAUCACUCCCUCUUACUCCUUUCGACAGAAAAAGAACUGAACAGAAAGGGCAGACAAUUCUCUUUCGAUGGGCGAUGAAGCAAAUCGGAGGAAUGUCGGACUCUGGUUGGGGAAGAAUGGCGUGACAAGAUUAAAGGAUCACAUGCGUUUCGCUUUUGCGAUAAACUGAAACAUCUAAGGAGAAGAUUAAAAGUCUGGUACAAAGGAAGAGGCAGGAAUUCUGCGAAGAUGAUCCUGCAACUGAAAGAAGAGAUUCGGGUGGCCUAUAUCUCUAACGAAUUUGCCUCAAAGGAGGUUAAGCAAAAAGAGAAGGAGUUUAUUGCUGCUCAUCGGCAGGAUGAGACUUAUUGGAAAGUAAAAUCUAGGAAUCAGUGGCUGCGAGAGGGCGACAAGAACACUAAAUUCUUCCAUGCUCAAACACUGAAAAGGAGACGUUUCAACACGAUCCGGGGGAUAGAGGACGGUCGUGGGAUCUGGCAGCAGAGUUUGAAGGGGAUAGGUGAUACUGCUAUCGAAUAUUUUUCUGACCUCUUUCAGUCCUGUAAGCCUAAUCUUGUGGAGGAAAUUCAAAGUUGUAUAGAGAGCCGGCUCUCCAUAGAGGAUAACCAGGGAUUAACUGCUAUGGUCACCGAUUGCGAAAUUAUGGAGGCUGCAUACCAAAUCCCCCUUACGCGGGCUCCGGGCCCUGAUGGCUUUUCUGGCUGCUUUUACCAGGACCACUGGGACACGGUCGGGCCGGAUGUAAUCAAGAUUGUCAAAGCAUUUUGGCACUCGGGAACCCUUCUUCGUAAACUCAACCAUACAAACCUAGUAUUAAUCCUGAAGAUGAAGUGCCCUAAAAACAUGUCGCAAUACAAGCCCAUUGCCUUAUGUAAUGUCAUUUACAAGAUCAUUGCCAAGGUCCUCACUAAUAGGCUUAAGAGGGUGAUGCCGAAAGUGAUUGGGAGAACCAAUCUGCCUUCGUGGCGAGGAAGCAAAUUCAAGACAAUAUCCUUGUGGUACAUGAAGCCCUCCACUCCCUUAUCCACCAGAAAUCAGGAGACCAUCCUGGUAUGGCCAUAAAGCUUGACAUGGCUAAGGCUUACGAUCGAAUUGAAUGGGAAUUCCUCCUGGGCAUGAUGUGCAGUUUGGGUUUCGCGCCUCUUUUCUGUAAAUGGAUAAAGGAAUGUAUUUCUUCUGUAUCUUUCAGUGUUCUUAUAAAUGGUUCCCCAACGGGGUUCUUCCGGCCGAAUCGGGGUCUUAGACAAGGUGAUCUUCUAUCCCCUUUUCUCUUCCUUCUCUGCACUGAAGGGCUCUUAAUGCUAAUUAGGAGAGGCUUGGAAAGGGGUGUCCUCCACGGGUUCAAGAUUUCCUUCGCGGGAGCUCCCCUAACGCAUCUUUUCUUUGCGGAUGAUUCUGUGGUUUUUGGAAAUGCGUCUGUAGAGGAAGCGGAAAGUAUUGUGGAAGUGUUAAAGACUUAUGCUCGAGGCUCUGGUCAGGAGAUUAACCUGACCAAAAACUCUGUCUUCUUCGGUGCUAAUACUUCGAAGAAAAUGAGAGCUAACAUCGUGGACUCCCUGAUGAUUCAAAGCAAAUAGGGAUUUGGGAAAUAUCUGGGCCUGCAGGCCGAUUUUGGGCACUCAAAAAAAGCUGUCUUUGGCGAGAUUCGGGACAAGAUUGAAGCUCGCAUGUCAGGGUGGGCUGAGCAGUUUCUGUCCCAGGCGGGCAAAGAGAUCCUGGUGAAAACUGUAGCUAUGGCGUUGCCUAACUACGCUAUGAGCUGCUUCAAACUCCCCAUUGGCGUUUGUCGGGACGUUGAAAGAGCCAUCCGGAAUUACUGGUGGCGUGGUAAUGAACAAAGGAAGGGUAUUCAUUGGAUUUCCUAGGAUCGGUUGAUGAAACAGAAAAAGGCCGGUGGUUUGGGAUUCAAGGACAUCCAAUGUGUCAACCUUGCUUUUCUUGCUAAGAUUGGAUGGCGAAUCACCCUGAAUCCUAUGUCCCUCCUUGCUUCGGUCUUGAGAGAUAAAUACUUCCCGGGGAAAUCCUUUGGAGAAGCGCCUAAAGGAAAGAACACCUCAUAGGGUUGGAAAGGCCUGUUUGAAGCUCGGAAAGUGUUAAACCUUGGGCUCAGAUGGCGGGUUGGAAACGGGAAAAGCAUCAACAUUAGGGAGGACCCGUGGUCCCCAAACCCGAAACUUUCAAGGUCUGUCCGAUGAAUAAUCUCGUUGAAACCAUGGUAAGUGAUCUGAUUGACUCAGAUACUAAGGUAUGGAGAACGGACUUGAUUGCAAACGGGUUUCACCGGGGCGAUGUUUCAACGAUCUUAAGCAUUCCCUUAAGUCAUGUUGGCAGUAAUGACAGGCUAGUGUGGCACUAUGCUACUAAUGGGAUAUAUUCCGUUAAAUCGGGUUAUAGUAUGGCUUUAAAGUUAAUGGAUGAUAGUGCUCUGGGAAGAAAAGGGCGUGGCAACCCCAGUGAGAGUAACAAACUAAAGAUGGUAUGGAAUAAUAUCUGGAGACUGCAGGUUCCUCACAAAAUCAGAAUCUUCAUCUGGCGUUGCUGUAAUAAUGCUCUGGCGGUCAGACGGAACCUUAAAAGACGUCAUAUGCGUGUUGACAACGUAUGUGGCGUUUGUAUUGCCGUCAACGAAACUGAAAACCACCUGUUCUUCCGAUGUGAGAUAAGUCAUGUCUUCUGGUUUUGCUCUCCUCUUCAUCUUAAUUCUCAUGUCCUGGAGGGUAGAGACUUUCUUGAAAGCUGGUGUAACUUCUGUGACCAAGUAAAGGACAGGAUCGAUGCGGAUGAUAUUCGUCAUGAUUUUGCCUUUGGCCUAUGGAGAUUGUGGAAAAACAGGAACGAUGUGGUUUUUAAAGGGAUCUAUCGUCAGCCUCUGGAUAUCUUGGAGGCCUGGAAAAAGAGCACCGGUGAGUACAAGGCCAGUCUGGCUCCGGAUCAAGAAGAUCACAGCUUGAGGAUGCCGAAGACUAUCAUGGUCAGUGAUCGUAUAUGUACCAAGUGGAAGAGACCAAGGUUUGGAACUAUUAAGAUAAAUACUGAUGCGGCGGCUUGGUGUAAAGAUACUCUGCGUAUGGGGGUGGGCUGGCUGGGGCGGGAUUUCGCUGGUUUGCUCCAGGCUGCUGGCGGGUCUGGGACUGGAUUCAGCCACAGUGCAGCUGCUGCUGAAGCUUCUGCCAUCAGGUUUGCCUUAUUGUCUUGCAUAGACCAUGGGUUUGAUGACAUUAUCAUUGAAUCUGACGCAAGUACGAUUAUUAUGAUGUUGAAGAAAGAAAUCUUGGUUGAUUUUAGUAUCGAAUGCAUUCUUGAUGACAUUGAGAUUCUAGCGCAAAAGCUGAGGUCUGUCUCUUUUGCUUUUGUGCCUAGAGAGGGCAACCGUGCUGCUCACUCGGUGGCUAAGUAUGUAUUCAAGGAGGGACGUUCUUUCUCUUGGGAUUGUAUUGGCCCUGAAUUUCUGUUUAAUUUCCUUGCUAAGGAUGUAAACCUUUCUAUUCGUCUUUAAUAUAUUUCUAUCUUUCGUUAAAAAAAAAAAAUACUGCACAAAUUUGUGAUAAGUUGAUGACUAAAGAUGACUGCCUUUUGUAAAGCAGUUUUUGACUUUUCUGCAUUCUUUUAUAUAGUUUUUUCUUUUUUUCUUCCUAUUUUGUUAGAUUAGAUAGAUAGGGGUGCUGAUAAAGAAAAAGUAUUUUUGCAUUUUGCUGCACGUGAUGUUGAAGGUAUACAAUGUUCAAUGACUGAACCCUAUUCCCUAAGCAUAAUUAUACAAUAGCUACACACAAAACAUUGAAAGUAUACAUGCGUGCAGUAAGAAUGAAUGGUAAAAAUGCCAUGUUCCUUUUAACAUUGCGAAUUACCGAGCUUUCUGGAGGGAGUAUAAAUACGAAUGCUCUUGGUGGCCUUCAUUUAAUUUCUUACUAAUUUCAUCUCAAUGUUUUGGAACUUUUAACAGCCCUCUCACCAAACAUAAAAUUUUUAGGAGCACGCAGCACCUGUAAUUAAAAAAAUGCCUCUUUUGCAUGCGCGUUAGCGCGUGCGGAGAUGUUAGCAAUUUAUAAAGUAAGCGACAGGAACAAAGAGAUUGAGGACAUAUGAUUGGCGACAAAGAAAAAUAUUAGAACGACAGGAACAAAGAGAUUGAGGACAUAUGAUUGGCGACAAAGAAAAAUAUUAGAAAACAGAAACCAGUUGUCAGUUGACUGACUCAGACUCUUUUACCAGUCAACCCUUCACAUUUCCACCUAACCCGAAAACUGUAGCUUCUAGAGGAUGAGGAAGGCUUCGUGGAGGCUGGGCACAGGAGGAGCAUCCAUAUCCGCUCCAUGGUCCGCCACCAACUGCCACCGGAUUCGAGCAAAACUGGCCUGAAUCCGACUGAUCAGUAAUUUAGAUCGAAUCGAAUACGAGUUUUCUGUUUUUUGCGUGUAGGGAGUUUACGGAUGCUCGUAUAUCAUGGCAGUGGCGUUGGUUGGAGGGGCUGCGAUAGGAGCACUGUUUGGAGUACUGUAUGAUGUCGUAAAGGAAUCGAUGGGAAGGACUGUUAUGCAGUACAAACCCCUCCUUGAAGAUCUCAAGUUCACACUUGACUGUUUACGACCGCGGAUCAUCCAAGAGAUAGGGGAUCAUAACGUGGCACUGGGUCUCCCAAACGAUGACAUAGAACGUCUCCAACAACAAAUGGAGGAGGGUAUAAAGCUCGUUGGCAGGUUAUCGAAGCUUAGCAUGUGGAACUGCUACGUCUUAUGCAGUUGCUGCAAAUGCUCGAAGCCGAGCUACACCGAUCGACUUAUUCAGUUGGAUAGGUCUCUUAAAGCACUGUUAGAAGUGCUGAGGUUGCAGGAAGCAAGGGACAUGAAGGAGAACUUGCUUUUGAAUAGGAAGAUAUACGAAAAACAAGAUGAAUUGGCAACAAGGCAGUCGGAAAUACUGAAAAUUGCUGGGGAGAUACUGCGAGCGCAGCAGGAAGAUAAGGGUGUGCAAGAGCCUUCAGGAAGUAGUACACAAACUGUGGUGCAGGAGCAAAUUGGAGGCAGUGGUGUGCAGCAAGCGGCAUCAAUAAACAGAGGAGGAGCUGCUCUAGGAGCAGCGUUUGAGGUACUAUUUAGUGCCGUUCAACAAACGAAGGAGAAGACGAGGAUGUUUAAACGCAUCCUGGGACAUCUCGAGUCCAUGCUAGACUCUAUAAAGCCAUUGAUAGAAGAGAUUGCAGAAUAUAACAAGGUAUUGCAUCUUACAGAGGAAGAACUAGAAAGUUUUAGAGUAGAGAUGGAGACGGGUGUAGAGCUCGUUCGCAAGUGCUCAAAGGUUAGUCUUUGGGCAAGCAACAAAAAGUAUGAAUAUACCAACAAACUUCUUGGAUUAGAUGAAUCUCUUCAAAGAUUGAUAAAUAUACUGAGAGUGCAACUAGCAAGGGAUGCGACAGAAAGCUUGGUUUCGGUAACUAAUAUAGAGACGGUGACCAUGAAAAUUGAAGAGAGUGGUAUCAUACAAUACGAUCCAUUAGUUGAACUUCCAUCGGGGUACGGGGGAGAGUCUUCAGGAAGUGGCGCAGAGACAACACCGCAUGAACAAAAUCGAGAGAAUGGUGGACAACAAAUGGCGCCGUCAGGUGAAGGAGUAGGGGCUGCUGCUCUAGGAGCGGCGUUAGCAAGGGAUGUGAGGGAGAGCUUGGUUUCGGUAAGCAAUAUAGAGGCGGUGAUCAAUCAAAUUGAAGGGAGUGGUGUGGUAAAAUUACAAAAUGAGCAAAAUGAAGCUAAAGGUUCAUGUGAAGUGCCCGCAGCCAUGGCUAAGAGUGAAGUACGAUUGAAUGCACUAAGUGUGGAGGGAACAAGGGACUUGACUGAGACAUUGGAUCCGGAAGCGAAUAUAAUGGUAGGGUGGCAAAAUGUUGAAGACAGUUGGGUGGCACAAAGUAAAACUGAACAUCCAUCUCGUACACUUGGACUGGAUGCGAUGAACAUGCAGGUGGGAGCAAGGAGUAUGGAGGAGACCUCUGUAAGUCAUGUAGAGGAGGGGCUAAAGCGAAUUCAGUGCGAAGAAGUAUCCGAACCUGAUGCGCCAUUUAGGGAAUUGAAGGAGGAUGUUCUUAAGGAUGAGGAAGAUGAGGAACUUGAUGUGCAAGUGGAAGAUCAUCAUGACAGGAAGAAGAAAGGAGCUGAGUCUGUGACAGGUGCAAGUGGAGUCAGGAUGGCGAUUUGUAAAGCUGAUGGGUGUGCAGUCGAUCUGAGUGAUGCAAAGGUGUAUAAUAGAAGGCAUACGGUGUGCGAACUUCAUUCAAAGGCUCCACUUGUGAUUGUGUCGGGUCUAAAGAGAAGGUUUUGCCAUAAAUGCAGCAGGUUUGGCCUCUCCACCGUGUUUUAUAAUUAUCGCACUGCAAAUAUUUUUGCUUCUAUGAUUUCUGUCUGGUUUGGUUUUCGGAUUUCAGUCUUAAUAAUUUAGUUAGUUGUCCUGAAUCUAAAUGUUGUGUUGUAGAUUUCAUGAUCUAUCAGAAUUUGAUGACACCAAACAAAGUUGUCGUAGGCAUUUGCCCUACAUUGAACGUGAUGGUACAUGCACUCAAGUAAAGGACGUAAGUGGUGAUAUAGAUACGGUGAUUAGUCAAAUUGAAUGGAGUGGUGUGGUACAAUCACAAAAUGAUCAAAGUGAAAUUAAAGAUUCAUGUGCAGUGGUCGAAACCACAUCACCAGCAGUUGGAUUGAAUAUAUCGAGUGUGAAGGGAACAAGGGAUGUAAAGGAGACAUUGCAGACCUCAGCAAGUAAUACAGAGGCAGGACUGGAGCAAAUUCAGGGGAAAGAAGUGCCUGAUUUUGAACCUCCGUACGCUGAAUAUAAGGAAACUGAAUACAUACCUUCAUCGGUUACAGUUGGCUUGGAUGUGCUUUUGAGAGGAUUGAAGAGGUUUCUUCUUUAUGAUGAGGUGUCAACGGUUGUGCUAACGGGUCCUCAAGGAAGUGGGAAAACCACAUUGGCAAAAUACUUCUGUGCAGAUGAGGAAGUUAAAAACAUAUUCAAGAACAACAUCUUCUUUGUUCUUGUUUCAAAAAAUCCAAGCUUGAGCCUUAUGGUACAAACACUACAUCAACAGAUUGAACCCAAGGGUUUCCAGAUACCUGCGUUGCAAGACGAAUCAAUUGCACUUCACUGGUUGCACCAAUUUUUCAUGGAAACAGCACUGCACCCAUCAGUGUUGGUCUUGGAUGAUGUUUGGCCUGGAUCAGAAUCCCUUCUUGACAAGUUUGAUGAAUUCAAAACACCAAACUACAAGAUUAUAGUGACAUCAAGGUCUGAAUUUCCAACAUUUGGUUGUCCAUAUUAUCUGAAAUCACUGAAUGCUGAAGAUGAGAUGACUCUUCCUCAUCAAUCCCACACACACAUCGAAUCACUGGAUGAUGAAGACCUGACAAGUGUUUCUCCGCCACCCUCCGUCACAUUUGAUGAUAAAGGCCUGAUAGAUCAUUUUCCUGAUUCCUCUGCGUCCAACUUGGGAGACAGACGCUCUCAUGUUUCAACACCUAUGGGGCCAAUGGAUCAAUUUCAGGAUUCCUCGGCAUCAACCUUGGGAGAUAAGAGCUCGUGCGUUCCAAAAGAUGCAGGGACAAUGGUGAGUUCUUAGUCUGCGAUGCACGCCUACAAAUUCUUAUGGUUUUGUUUUUUUGUUGGUGUAGCCGUGUUCAUACUGUUAGCAAUAUGGCUCAGGUGCUUAUCCAACUUUGACAUUCUCUCUUUCUUUCAAUUUAGUUUCCGCUUGACAACCUCGUCAAGUCUACGCAGACAUAUAUGCAGAAGCUGGUAUUCAAGGUCAAGAAAGAAAAGAAGAAAGCCAUGAAAGCUGUUUCUGGUGUUGAAGGUAUUCUAAUAUUUCUUGCCUAGUUUUGUUUACAGCACUUCAUUCAAGGCCAGUUUUAAUGUAAUAAAACCGUUUCAUUUUUCGUUUCCAUUAAUUGUUCGGUUGAUUUGGAUGAGCAGAUCUUCUCGGGCGAAAAAAAAAAGAAUCGGCCCUUGAUGUUUAUAUCGACAGUCGUAACCAAUCAGGAACUGCCAAAGGCUGGAAGCUAAUAGGUGCCCGGGAAGCAUUAAGCAUCAACCUCGCGACAUUUGAGAAGCCCCUUCAAAAGCUCACUUUUGCAGAUCUUCUUGAGGCCACCAAUGGUUUCCACGAUAACAGCCUUAUUGGCAAAGGUGGUUUUGGUGAUGUAUACAAGGCCCAAUUGAAAGAUGGCAGUGUCGUAGCCAUAAAGAAACUAAUACAUAUCAGCGGACAGGGUGAUCGCGAAUUCACUGCAGAAAUGGAAACAAUAGGGAAGAUCAAGCACCGGAACCUUGUCCCCCUCCUUGGAUACUGCAAAGUAGGAGAAGAACGGCUUUUGGUUUAUGAGUACAUGAAAUAUGGAAGCUUAGAUGAUGUUUUACAUGAACCGAAGAAAGCUGGCAUCAAGUUGAACUGGGCUGCAAGGAGGAAGAUUGCCAUUGGGUCUGCGAGGGGACUGGCCUUUCUUCACCACAAUUGCAUCCCACACAUCAUUCACAGGGAUAUGAAAUCGAGCAAUGUGCUGGUGGAUGAAAAUUUAGAAGCCAGAGUCUCCGAUUUUGGAAUGGCAAGGCUUAUGAGUGCAAUGGACACCCAUUUGAGUGUGAGCACUCUAGCAGGCACCCCUGGUUAUGUCCCUCCUGAAUACUACCAGAGCUUUAGAUGUUCCACGAAAGGUGAUGUUUAUAGUUAUGGAGUAGUAUUGCUUGAACUGCUAACGGGAAGACGUCCUGCAGAUUCAGCAGAUUUUGGCGACAAUAAUCUCGUGGGUUGGGUAAAACAACACGCUAAAUUGAAAAUAAGUGAUGUUUUUGAUCCGGAGCUCAUGAAAGAGGACGCAAGCCUUGAGAUUGAGCUUUUACAGCACUUGAAGGUAGCUUGUGCUUGUUUGGACGACAGGCCAUGGCGGCGUCCGACAAUGAUCCAAGUGAUGGCAAUGUUCAAGGAAACCCAAGCCGGGUCUGGGAUGGAUUCCCAAUCAACGAUAGCCACGGACGACGACGGAGUUUUUGGCGGAGUUGAAAUGGUAGAGAUGAGCAUGAAAGAAGUCCCGGAAAGCAAGCAGUAGGCCGGGAUAGGCAGAAGGCUGUUAUCGUCAGCUUUCUCAUAAGGAGUACGAGAAAAGAGAGGAGGAAGAGAGAGAGAUUCAUUACGCCCAGGUGACAGCAGUAAGAAAUCUCUCUUCCGGCUCCUCCGGUGGCUGUCCUUGUAUUUUGUUUGUAAUCUACAUAACGAUAAAAGGGAACUAAAGAAGCAAUCAUCCAAGAACGCAGCUUCAGAUGCCAACGAUAUCAAAGGUGUAGAACCAAUACUGUAAAGGUUUCAGAUAGCAAAACAGAAAACAGGUGUUAAUUGUUGUACUGUGUUCCUGCUAGGGUGUAUCCAUUUGCAUUUUCUAAGACAUUCAUUUUAUUCUUAAUUAUCUUUCAGUUUUGGUACAUCCAUUUGCUUUUAGGUUUAUAUACGAUGCCGCGAUCGUUAGUUGGGUUAUAUACGAUGCUGUGAACUACCUUAUUUCUUGGAAAUGAAAAAUUCGAGAAUCUGGCACAUUGCUGAUUGUAUAAAUCGCCCAAAACAACCUGACUCUAGCACUACAAACAUAUUCUCUAACAUUUCAGAUCUUCGAUUUGCCCGUCAGGGACGGGAGACGCGCGACAACCAUGUCAAGAAGAAAGUAGAGCUUGCCAAUAAACCAAUCAGGUAACUCUGAUCCCCGACUCCAGACGAAAGUACUGAAACUGGUUGAUGUUUCUUAUGGAGGAAAGGAUGGUUUCAAUCAGGCUGUUAAGUUGUCGGCGGAGUUUCUGUCCAAUGUGAAAUUUAUACAGGAGCACAACUUGCUAGGAAGACCCUUUGGAGAGGUUAACCAUGGGCGUAGAUGACACGCUAAAGGAUUUGGAGAUGGGAGCGAUUAACACACUUAUUGUGAGGGAAGAUCUUGACAGCAAAUAGGUAUGUGUUAAAAGAAUUCGUUGACCGAUGAGAUUGUUGUAAAACAUUUCGACAAGGAGCAGGGAAACAAUAAGAGCAACUUUUGAGAUCUUGCCAGCCAAGGAGAUCUAGAGGUUCAGGGGAGGAUCUCACUGCUGAAAUGGUCUGCUGACGAGCACACGCGUUUUGGUUGUGAUCUUAAGUUUGUCACCAACAAAUCACAUAAGGGUCGCAGUUCUGUCGAGGUUUAGGAGGCAUUGGAGGGUUACUGAAUGAAUUAUUCACAUCUUAUUCAAAUUAGUAACAUGCCGGUUCCAGAUACAAUAUUCACACAACAGACACAAGAGGAAUCCACAACGAACAACAACAAUUGAAUUUUUCAAUUGUUAAAAAUUUGACAAGAUAAUUAAGCACGAGCAUCCAUACACUUACAUUUGACAUGCAGAUGGAUGAACUUGAAAGCCUUCACAGAUGCUACCAGUCUUCCUUGACUAUCUUCGAUUUCUCGAGAAUGAAUUUCCCUUCCUUGUACUUCUGUGUUUGCUCAUAGGCCCCUUCAUACUUCCAACCCAGCACCUCAUGGCAGUCGCAGCAGGAGACAUCAGCGACCGUGUGAAGACCAGUCAUGAGUUGUCUGUCUUCUUUUGGCCCGACUGUAAUGUUCAUUGCAUGUGAAAACAGAAACGCUCGACCAUUUCUACCCUAUGAUUUAAUAAAAUAGAUAGUCGAAUCAUGUUUCUUGCAAUCUACUCAUCAUACUCAAAUCCUGAAGACUAUCAUUUACACACACAAUAACCAUAUGAACACAACGCAGAAAAUAGAAACUCUCAACCAAACACAAGACAACCACUCGGCUCCUGGCAUAGAUAACCGAGUACAAAUUGAAUCUUCAUUUCAUUUUCAACAUGCAAAAUCUUUAUUCCUCAUUUACUCCAAAUUCCAAAUGUAGGGAAAAGUAGACACCAAUUCAUCUCAAAACAAGAACGGAGAUUCGUUAGUUAAUUGAGAGAAAUGGGUCGAGGCCAGAGACGAGAGAGCUUCUUCCUAUCUCUGCUUUCCCAACACGAAGAUUGCUUCUCUCUCUCUGCCUCAAGAAUCAAGUUUCAAAACCAAAACAAAAGCUUUGUGAUUUUAGUUUCCAAAAAAGCUUUGUGCUUUUCUCCCAAACCGACAAGGCAUCACCAUCACAUGCCUUUUCCAUAUUAUUUUAUUUUUGUGCCUUUGCUAGUGGAACCGAAAGGCUUUGCUUUUUAUUUUAUUUUUUCAUUGUUCUUUGCAGAUGUAGCGCUGGAAAGUAGGAACAAAGGCAAAAGCUAAAGAAGAUUUCGGGACUUCGGGAAUACCGAAGAAAUGAAAUUUGAAAACCAAUCCCAUACCGAAUUUUUCGGUAUUUUUCGGUACGGGAUUACCAAAGUUCGGGAUUGUUUCAGUUUGGGUUUGGGAUUUUUUUGGUUUGGUUUGGGAAUUUCGGGAAUUUUUUCCAGCCCUACUGAAAAUGCACGAGAUAUCGAAGAUGUGAAGAUUAAACGUAUGGAUUGAAAAUGCACGAGAUAUUGAAGAUGUGAAGAUUAAACGUAUGGAUUAACAUUGAUUAAGAGUUGUACCUGACCAGUGUGCCAUGGUGACUUUAGAGAGAGAGAGAGAGAGAGAGAGAGAGAGAGAGAGAGAGAGAGAGAGAGAGAGAGAGAGAGAGAGAGAGAGAGAGUUUAAUCGUAGUAGCAGAAAAGGAGAGAUGAGUCAGUGUUUGGUACGUGAAACGGGACGGGAUGGGCUGGGAUGAGAUGUUUCGUCCAACGUUUUGGUGCACUUAAAAUAGGUGGAACGUGCUGUUCCACGGGACGAAUUUUGGGUGAAUUUUCGUUCCAUCUCACCCCCUGGAACGACUCAUUCCAUAUCUGUGAAACACAAAAUUAUAACCUCUCCGUCUCAUUCUUCUUCCUCCUUGCUUCCAUGCGAGGGCAUCUUUGUUCCUUCUUCGUUCCGUCCCAUCCUGUCCCGUUGGUCCCGUUCUAUUCCGUUCCAUCCUGUCUCGUCUGCAUACCGAAGGAUACCUAUUUGAACAAUAACAGUUAAGUCAUAUCAACAUCUUAUAUUAAUUUUAUAUAGAAAUAUAAAGAUAAAAUAGAGAAUUUGAGAGGAUGAGAGGGAAGGAGAUGGAAAGAUGAGAAUAGAGAAUCCUACCCUUGUGUCUUAUGAUACGAGGUUGUUUUAGGAAUGAUAAUGGGUGGAGAAAUAGGGUUUUAAUUUUUUAACUUUUGGUGGCGGGUGGGGUUAUAACGUGGGUGAAGAAAUAAGACAUUAGGGUGGGUCUAGUGUCACACAGAAAACACCAAACAGUGAAACCCUAAAGAAGCUACAAUCUCUGUAGCUACUGCCUCCGCGACUUAGCUCUUACUCCAUGCCACGAUCAACACAAUUUGUCGCCCCCUCGACUGCUUGCAAGUGUCCCAUUCUUGAGUAAAAGUAUUCUUCUAGGACCACCACAACAACAACAAUCACUGCCACAUGACAUAGGAAGUCCACAAGAAGAAAUAUCCCACAUGCAACAUCGCUAACAAAGGAAAACAGUAGGAAAGGCCAACAAGGGUCAACAAAGGUGAUGAUGCGAACACUCAAGCCGAAGCUCUACACAUCCUCUCUAAAUUUCGCGACAAAUUGCAAAAAACAAAAACGGUAAUCGAUCAAACUUGUAAAUGGAUGGGAAGAUGAUGGAACCCACUGAUGAAGAUGAUGGGGAGAGAUGAACUGUGGGAGAUGGAAGAAACUAGUGAUUUGGAUUUGGGGUAAAGUUAUUGAAAUCAAAGGCAAGAAGAGCAGUAAAGUGAUGACAGUUGCCACCGACCCUAGCCACGACUACGGUCAGUGGCGACAAGGAAAGACUAAAGACAUGUCAUUUCACCUAAUUAUCUACCACAUGUCUUUUUACUUAAUUCUAGUUAACUUUUACAUUAAAAGUUACUUUUACAAUUUUCAAAAAAAUUAACCAAGGUUAAAUGAAAUGACACGUGACAGAUGAUUGGGUGUAUAGUAAGCAUACACUAUAAUUUAUGUUUAUGAUCGUAAGUAAACACUCACUUAGUCAUUAGAGAAAUUUCGAUCAUUUAAUCUCAAUAAAAUAGUAGAAUUACAAGAAAUGAGUUCAUUCACAGAAUAGUGAGAAGGACUCUCACCGAAAGAGAGAGAAAGACUUUCACCGACACUAUUUAUAUAGUUUUGCAUUCAUUAUCAUGCCUACAUUUAGGACCCUUACAUAAAUUAAAGGCAGUGUCUCGUGCACAUUAUUAUUUUAUAAAUUAAAGGCGAGUGGCCAUGUAUUACAAUGAUGAAAAAGAGUUGAGUUUUUGUAUGACAGCAUAGUUUCAAACCUUUUAGAUGGCUAAUCUAACAAAUUUUAUCAUUUUGACAAAACAAAAAAAAACAAAAAAAAGAGAGAGAGAGAGAGAAUUUCGAUGCAACUCUAAAAAUAUAAGUUUAAGGCGGUCCAUCAUGCAUAUAAUAAUUUUAACUACUUAAUUGUUUAUUUCAUUAGAGCGACAAACAUUUUUUUAUGAGACCAUUUUUUUUUUUGGAAAACUUGGAAUUACAUUCCAAAGCCGAGAAGCCCAAAGGUACAUGAAAGCCUACGAAGAGGUAAACACCAAGAAAGGCACAAUGAAAACCACAGCAAUGAAAUGCGAUACAACUAGAAGACGCAUCAACCAAGUUGAGCGUCACCCCUAACAUCGCACAAUAAAUCAAUGCGCACAUGGAAGACCAUCCUUGUUCAAAACUUGUACCAACGAAGAUGGGGGCCUGUCGACCCAAACACGAUCACACAUCUCCGGAAACCAACUGACGUAAGAAAAUCUGCCGCCAGAUUGACUGAUCUUGGCACCCAAGACUAGCAACAGUUCUGGAAAGCCCCACUCAACUGUUUGACUCUUGCCAAGGUAGGGAAAGCCUCUCCUAACUACCAUUAUCAAUAGAACCAGAAAGACAAGAUAUAGAUUCAAGAGAAUCCGAUUCGAAAUUUACUACCUAAUUCACAUCCACGCAGCAACAUCAUUGCUUCUGUCGUAGCCACAUUAGGAGCCUGAAUAGAGUACCUUGCUGCAACCACAAACGGCCCCCUUGCAGCUCGCAUGACCACCCUAACAAAACGCAUUUUAGAAACCUUGGACCAACUAGCAUCAACAUUAAUUUUUGUAAAUGGAGAUGUAGGAGCCAACCACCUAGGUACUUGAAUCUGCAGCGUAGUAACCAUCGACCCACCAGUCCCUGAUAGCUCCACCGCAUCCCAAUAACAAUCUACUGCAGUUGGCAACUCUAACAACACCCUAGUGGGAUUAAUCGGUACCUGAUUGAACACAAAAUCAUAACGAGCUUUCCAAAUCAACCAAUAGGUGAAAACAACAUAUGAUUAAACCCACUUCCUAUCAAUCGUGGACCCAAGGUUGAGAGACAAAACUACCUGCAAUCAACUUACCCACGAAUGAAUACCAGCUCUAUCAACCAUGUAGUUAAGAGCACCGCCAAACCAAAUUACUUUCACCCACGGACAAAAGAGGAAUAGAUGCUCAAUAGUUUCAGCAUGACAAAGACAAAUGGGGCAAAUUGGGGAAGGGGAAGAGCGCUUGUGAAAAAGAACCGCUUUAGUUGCAAGACCAUCGUGCAACGAUAACCAAAUGAAAUGACAAAUCUUUGGAGGCCUGUGAAACCGCCAAACAACUUUCCAUAAAGCUUUCGGAACUAACCUAGCACCUAACUACCGUUGAUCCUUCAAACCAAGUAUUAUCGAUUGAAGCCAACGGUACCUCGACUUAACUGAGUACUUACCAGUCUUGCUAGUUUCCCAGACUAACCGAUCCUUACUGCUCAAAUCACCAAGUGGGUAGCCUUAAUAGCUGCUUGAUCCACUGAAGAUAUAAACGGCUGCAAAAAUCCAAUGUCUCACUCAUGGGACUCUGCCCAUAUAAGAGAAUUGACCCGCAAGUUGGGAGUAAUCGGAACCUCACCAAUCGGCAUCGAAUACUCUGCAGGUAAAGAUGGAAGCUAACAAUACAUCCAAACUCGCACAUCCAUGUCGCCUAUGAUUUGCCAAUGAAAUCCAUUUCGAAGUAACUCCUAUCCAAUUAGUAGACUUGUCCAUGCCUAAGAAGCCCGUGCCUCUUUUUUAGAAUCCCAAAAGGAACAAGUCAGGAAAUAAUAGGCCUUGAUAACGCGGGCCCAAAGAGAAUUCAGUUCAGAAAUCAAACACCAACACUGUUUGGCCAGCAAAGCAUCAUUGAACUCAUUAAAAUUCCUGAAUCACAAACCUCUCAUAUCCUUUGACAGACCAAGGACAGCCUUCGAAACCCAUUGAGUCUUCCGCACCUUUCAGAUACUCCCUCACCAAAAGCCAAAGCGUCUAACUCUUGACAGACUAUAACAGUGAAUUUAAAAAUACUCAUCAGGUAGGCAGGAAUAGCUUGGACAACCGCCUUAAUCAAGACUUAUUUCCCCACUCUUGAUAAAAUACUUUGUUUCCAUCCUUGCAAGUUGCCCAGUAUUCUCCCCUUGACAUAGGCAAGACCAUGUUUCUUCGAACGCCCCAUAUAGCAAGUACACCCAAAUAUGUUCCUGGAUUGUCAACCACAAGGAUACCAAGAACAUUAGCCAACUCGGCAGAACCCUCAAAUGAAUGUUCACCCCAAAGUAAACAUUAUACUUUUGCAAAUUCACUUUCUGUCCCAAAGAAUCACAAUAUCACGCAAGAAGGUCAACCAAAUUCCUACAAUUUUUCACAUUAGCCCUCAGAAAAAUUAAAGUGUCAUCAGCAAAAAAACAUAUGAGAAAUGAUUAGCCCCGAGACACAAUCUUCACCCCUUCAGCAUCUCCCUAUCCAUCGUACCCUGAAUCAAUCGACAAAGAACCUCCCCAACCAAAAUAAAUAAAUACGGAGAUAGAGGAUAUUCCUACCUGAGACCCCUAGAGGGAGCAAACUGUUUACCAGGUUGUCCAUUAAGGAUGACAGCAAACUACAUCGAAGACACACAUCCCAUAAUUAAUUGCCUCCACAUGCUACUAAAACUCAUCAUCUCUAUGAGUGCAUUAAGAAAAUCCUACUCCACCCGAUCAUAAGCUUUUUGCAUAUCAAGCUUUAUGCCCAACUCAUACUUAUUUUUCACUUUUUGCCCUUUCAGGAAGUGAAAAAUCUCAUGGGGUAUCCCAAUAUUAUCAUGAAUCUAUUGACCUGCCACAAAUGCAUUCUGAAAGGGAGAGAUAAGUUGCGGCAACACACCUUUCAAUCUAUUGGCAAGAACUUUUGACAGAACCCUAUAUGAAUAAUUACAAAGACUAAUAGGCAUAAAUUGCGAUACUAUUAACGGGUUGUGAACCUUAGGUAUUAGAACAAUAUGGGUAGCAUUGAGUGUCCCAGGGCUAGCCGUGCCAUACAUCAAUGUUCUAACCAGAGUGUUAACAUCCUCCCUAAGAUGCUCCCAAAAAGACUGGUAAAAAAUCCCUUGAAAACCAUCCAGGCCAGGAGCUUUAAGACCCCCCAUUUUCAUCGCCGCCUCCAUUAUUUCCUCAUCGGACACCGGCUCAAGCAAAGCCAUAUUCAUUUCCCCUUUAACACCCGAGUUGAUACAAUCCAAAAUCGCUCCCCAGUUUCUCGCCCCCAUUCGGACCUGAACAAAAUGUUCCUCCACUAACUCACGAACCCGGCUUGGUUGCUCUACCCAAUACCCAUCCACAUCCUUAAUUUUGAUGACCUUGUUCCUCCGACGGUGUUGUAAUGUUGAUUGGUGGAAGAACUUAGUAUUCGCAUCCCUUUCACGUAACCAUCUAACUCGAGAUCGUUGAUGCCAAAAGCUUUCCUCCUAAUAUUGGACAAUAUUAUAUGGGAUAUUACAAAUACAUGCAAGUUGCAACACCGGCAAUAAUGUCAAUUUUGGCAAUUGCAUUAUGAUGUUAGGGAGACUAAAAUUUUAAACUAAAUUUACAUAUCAAAUGAUGUAUAACUAAUAAGAUACAAGUACAUUAAUCAACACUUAAUUAAUAAUUCAAUCAUCAACAACUAUAUCAUUUUAUUUUAAAAUUUUGAUUUCAGUAACAUUACCCAUCGAAAACAGCUACAACUUUUUAAACUUAAAAAUACUUUUUCAAGUCUUAAACUUAAAAACACAAUACAUGAGUUCUUGGCCGGAAGUUUGUCUGUAUUUGUCUACCCGAUUCUUUUUGUGCCUUGUACUAGUUUUCAAUGUAAUGAAAAUGAUCUUCGUGAUUAAAAAAAAAAAAUAAUAAUAAUAAAAGAUUACUUAAACAUUCAAUGUAUCUCCAUGGCUGCAAAGGCGGUUAUACGACUACUAGGGUUUUUAAGGCUUUUUAGCUUAAAUGGUCCUUGAGAUUUUGCAUAACUUUUCACUUGGGUUCCUGAGAUUUCAAAUCAAUAGAAAUGGUCCCUGAGAUUGUCCACCAUCCAUCAUUUUGGUCAUUCCGUUAAAAACUCUUUUAAGUGUCCCGGAGCUCUUGGCCGGAAGUUUGGGCAAUUUUCAAAGCUUCGUAACUUAAUCGUUUCUUAACCAAAUUCGACCCAUAAUAUAUCAAAAUGAAGAUAGAAAAGUGUAAAAUAAGAUUAUACCUAUUUGGAAGCCCAAUUGUUGCCGGAGAUUAUCGGAAAAUAGUCUCAAAGUUGACUGGUCCAAGGGAAAACUGGAGAAUUUGCCGAAAACUGGGUAAACUUUAAACAUUCAUAACUUCUUCAAUACUAAAAAAAAUCAAGUGAUUCAUAAACGAAAAUCAUACUUCUCGACGAGACGAAGAAAAUUGUACCUUUUUCAGCGCUAACUCGCAAUGGUUUAGCUGGAAAACUGCUCAAAAGUGGCCAUCUUGGGCUCGAAAUCGGCUCUAAAUUUAUUUCGAGACAAAUUUACACUUAUGAUUACGUAAAAUGAAAAAUAAAUAAACUUUUAUAAAGGAAUAGAAAAAUUAAAACAAUAAUAAAAAAUAAAAAAAAUUUCCUAGCAGCCAACUAUCUCCUGCAUGGCUUCCUGCAAGCCAUUCCUUUUAUUUCACACCUACAGCCUUGUCUUUAACUGGGCCUCUCUAUCCUUAUCUCUAUUUCUCUCCCUAGAGUAGUCGCAGAAGCGUAGAGAUCUUGAUGGUGGUUCGAAUGAGGCUAGUGAAGCCGUGGUGGCUGGGUUUGGAGCUGGAGAAACUCGAUAAAUUUCAAGGUGUGUUAGUGUAAUUAAUCCGAUAUUUUUUAUACAAUAACAUGAUCACACUAAGGGAAUGAAAAAAUAAAUUAGUUGCACCAUCAUCAUUUUUGAGAUUCAAACUUAAAACUUUUCUAUCACAAAUAAAAAAAAUAUCAUAUAAUUAAUCUGUAGAGUAACAUUUCAUCGGAGUUAAUUUGCUAGGUAAAGAAUGUGUGAGAUUUAUUCAAAGAAAAAAAAAGAGUACCAAACUUUUAUAAUUUAUAAAGUCAGCGACAAGAACAAAGAGAUUGAGACAUAUGAUUGGCGACAAAGACAAAUAUUAGAAAAUAGAAACCAGUUGUCAGCUGAAUGAGUCAGACUCUUAAACAAGUCAACCCCUUAACAUUUCCGCCUAACCCGAAAACUGUAGCUUCUUGUGGAUGAGGAAAGCUUCGUGGAAGCUAGGCACAGGAGGAGCAUCCAUAUACGCUUCAUGGUCCGCCACCAACUGCCACCGGAUUCGAGCAAAACUGGUCUGAAUCCGAUUGAUCAGUAAUUUAGAUCGAAUCGAAUACAAAUUUUCUGUUUUUUGCGUAUAGGAGUUUUCGGAAGCUCGUAUAUCAUGGCAGUGGCUUUGGUUGGAGGUGCUGCGAUAGGAGCACUGUUUGGAGUACUGUACGAUGUCGUAAAGGAAUCGAUGGGAAGGACUGUUAUGCGGUACAAACCCCUCCUUGAAGAUCUCAAGUUCACACUAGACUGUUUACGACCCCGGAUCAUCCAAGAGAUAGGAGAUCAUAACGUGGCACUGGGUCUCCCAAACGAUGACAUAGAACGUCUCCAACAACAAAUGGAGGAGGGUAUAAAGCUCCUUGACAGGUUAUCGAAGCUUAGCAUGUGGAACUGCUACAUCUUAUGCAGUUGCUGCAAAUGCUCGAAGCCGAGCUACACCGAUCGACUUAUUCAAUUGGAUAGGUCUCUUAGAGCACUGUUAGAAGUGCUGAGGUUGCAGGAAGCCAGGGACAUGAAGGAGAACUUGCUUUUGAAUAGGAAGAUUUAUGAAAAACAAGAUGAAUUGGCAACAAGGCAGUCGGAAAUACUGAAAAUAGCAGGGGAGAUACUGAGAGCGCAGCAGGAAGCAAGGGGUGUACAAGAGCUCUCAGGGAGUAGUACACAAACAUUGGUGGUGCAAGAGAAAAUUGGAGGCAGUGGUGUGCAGCAAGCGGCGUCAAUAAACGGAGGAGGGGCUGCUCUAGCAGCAGUGUUUGAGAUACUAUUUAGUGCCGUUCUACAAACGAAGGAGAAGACGAGGAUGUUUAAACGCAUCCUGGGACAUCUCAAGUCCACGCUUGACUCCAUAAAGCCAUUGAUAGAAGAGAUUGCAGAAUGUAACAAGGUAUUCCAUCUUACAGAGGAAGAACUAGAAAGUUUGAGAGUAGAGAUGGAGAAGGGUGUAGAGCUCGUUCGCAAGUGCUCCAAGGUUAGUCUUUGGGCAAGCAACAAAAAGUAUGAAUAUACCAACAAACUUCUUGGAUUAGAUGAAUCUCUUCAAAGAUUGAUAAAUAUACUGAGAGUGCAACUAGCAAGGGAUGCAAGAGAAAGCUUGGUUUCGGUAACUAAUAUAGAGACGGUGACCAAGCAAGUUGAAGAGAGUGGUAUGAUACAAUAUGAUCAAACAGAAAGUCGGCGUCCACUAGUUGAACUUCCAUCGACUACCGUUGGUUUGGAUGUAUUGAGUGUGCAGGGAGCAGGGAAGAUGACAAAAGCAAGGGAAUUAGAGGAGGGGGCAAAGAAAAUUGAAGGGAGUGGUGUUGUCCAAAAUCAAACCGAAAUUCAUGGUUCUUCAAACACAGUUUCAAUGGUAUGUCUAAAUUCUCUUCAUUCUUUAUUCUUUUAAGUUAAUCAUGCAUUUGGAAGCCUAGUUUUGAACACUAUACAGAUGCCGGAUUGUUCAUGAACAGGAAGAGUCUGAAACCGAAUUUGAGCCACAACAAGUCUUCUCCUCGGAAUUUGGCACAAUCCACGAGAAUACGCAGGGUAGCAGACCUGAUACUUCUCCAAGGUUCUCCAAUUGGUUCAGUAGGAAAGCCAAAAAAAGAGGAAAAAGUGGGAGCGAAAAUGAGCAGAAACAUGUGAAAGGUAGUGAAAAUCCGACGAGUUGUUAUUGCAAGUGCACAUAUUCGUUUUUUGAUAUCAAUACUAGACGAACCAAAAUUUUUCCUGAAAUUUUAUCCACCAAAUGAUGUGGCAAGUCAAGAGAAAGUAUCGUAGGGACCAUUUGAUACCUCUUUCAGUUUCUAGUUUUGGAUUUUAUUGUGGUAUAUAUAUUGUUGGUCUAUUAUUGGUCGUUGACAAAGUCAUGUACCUAUAAUAAGAUACUCUUUAUUAACAUGGCAUCAGAAAUUUAUGAAUAAUUUUUUCCUGGCAACAGAAAUCUCUGCCAUUUAUGAUGUUAACAUAUACGCCUACAAAGAGUUGAGAAACGCAACCGAAAAUUUUGGUCCAGCCAAUAAAAUCGGGGAAGGCGGUUUUGGUUCUGUCUACAAGGUAAGUUCACAUUUACUUUUUUAAUGUAUGUGUUCGUAAACCAUUGCUUCUGCAAUUGGUAAUUAAUAAUCUACAAGGUUAGUGACACCUAUUUCAAUUGCUUCCGUGAAUAAUCAUCAGGGACGCCUUAAAGAUGGAACUAUGGCUGCUGUAAAAGUUCUUUCAGCUGGAUGGACUGUAGGGCCGAGGGAGUUUUUGAAUGAGAUUCAAGUGGUCUCAAAAAUAAUGCAUAAAAAUAUAGUGAGGCUGUAUGGCUGUUGUUGUGAAGGAAACCGAACAAUUUUGGUCUAUGAAUACCUCGAGAAUAAAAGUCUUGCACAAACUCUUUUUGGUAAGUACAUACCUUCCUUCUCGAGCUGAAAUUCCUUUCUGGUCUUUACAAGAGAGUGAGUGAUUACGUAAAUGUGUUAUUUCCAUUUGAACUGAGUCAAUCCUUUUCUGAGCUUAAUUUGUUCAUUCCUAAGAAUCGUCUUUAAAUGAGCUGUUUUUAUUUCAGGUGAAGGUAAGAACCAUGUUCAGUUUAGUUGGCAAACGCGGCGUGAAAUAUGCAUCGGGGUUGCAAAUGGGCUUGCCUUCCUUCAUGAGUAUUUAAGAACACAUGUCAUCCAUGGAGACAUCAAAGCAAGCAAUAUUCUCCUCGAUAAAUACCUAGAGCCUAAAAUUUCAGAUUUUGGUCUUGCGAAACUUAAUGCAGCCAGCAAGACGCAUGCUAGCACCCAUGUUGCAGGGGCAAUGUAAGUUGUGAUGUCUCUCUUUCUUUUUAGGGUCUUUAAAAUUCAACAGUUCUCUCUUUGUUGAUCUAUCUUAAUCCAAAUAUUUACUGCCUUGCAAUUACAUCUAUGUUUCUGGUAUUAGAGGUUAUAUUGCACCGGAGUAUGCAAUACGGGGGCAGUUGACAAGGAAAGCAGAUGUUUAUAGCUUUGGGGUGCUCCUUCUGGAAAUAGUCAGUGGCAGAUGUAAUACUAAUACACAACUUGACGGGCAGUACCUGCUUGAAAGGGUAUGUAUUUCAGGUUGUGUCAUAUGUGAUUUUGGUAGAUGCAAUUGUUUCUUACUCCCUGUUUCUUUUGUUUCUUGAUCAUUAAGUAAACUAUCGAGUCAAGGAGCAAAAUCACUCUGCCUGAUAGUAUAUUGGAUCGUCUGUUUAUAAAUAAUUAUGCACAGCAGAUACCGAAUCUAUUACCUUAGGCAUUGUUGUUUAUGAUAAGUGCAUAUUCUUGUAUUGCAGACAUGGCAACUCUAUGAACAGAGGGCACUUGUUGGGCUGGUAGACACAUCAAUGAGCGAUGACUGUGACACCGAGGAGGCUUGUAGAUUCUUACAGAUUGGUCUCAUCUGCACCCAAGACAGUCCGAAACUCAGGCCACACAUGACAACUGUGAUUAAGAUGCUGACAGGAGAGGUGGAUGUCAACGACUGCAAGAUAUCAAAGCCAAGCUUAAUAUCGGAUUUCAUGAAUCUUGAAGUACGAGAUCCUGCCAGUAGUGUUAGCAUACAGUCCUCAGCUCCCAUGUCAUCACUCCAAAGUUCAAGCAAGACAAGUCAUUAGGCAGCUCAAGGAGCUGAAAUGGAUAAGCGGUUAACUGCAACUCUUGUAGCAAAUCUGGUGAUUAGUUAAAAUUAGUCAGACAACUAUGGUUAAUCACAUUAUUUGAACUGUAUGUAUAAGGACAAGUGUAACUGAUCAUCUAUGUAAUUGAAUUGAAUAAAUAAAAACUAAUUAGCUGCAAAAUAAGAUUGUGUACAUGAAAAAUAUGUUAUGAAAGGAGACACUCACCACUUCUUGGACGCUUCUUCCACUAGCUAUGUCAACCACGACUCUCUCCAAGCUUCCCUUCCAUAAAGUACACGCUUUGUUGAUAUACUUCCACGGAGGGCGCAGCAGGAAGAUAAGGGUGUGCAAGAGCUUUCACAAAGUAAUGCACAAACAGUGGUGCAGAAGCAAAUUGGAGGCAGUGGUGUGCAGCAAGCGGCAUCGAUAAACAGAGGAGGAGCUGCUCUAGGAGCAGUGUUUGAGGUACUAUUUAGUGCCGUUCUAAAAACGAAGGAGAAGACGAGAAUGUUUAAACGCAUCCUGGGACAUCUCGAGUCCACGCUAGACUCCAUAAAGCCAUUGAUAGAAGAGAUUGCAGAAUAUAACAAGGUAUUGCAUCUUACAGAGGAAGAACUAGAAAGUUUGAGAGUAGAGAUGGAGAAGGGUGUAGAGCUCGUUCGCAAGUGCUCAAAGGUUAGUCUUUGGGCAAGCAACAAAAAGUAUGAAUAUACCAACAAACUUCUUGGAUUAGAUGAAUCUCUUCAAACAUUGAUAAAUAUACUGAGAGUGCAACUGGCAAGGGAUGCGAGAGAAAGCUUGGUUUCGGUAACUAAUAUAGAGACGGUGACCGUGAAAAUUGAAGAGUGGUAUCAUACAACAUGAUCAAACAGAAAGUCGGCGUACAUUAGUUGAACUUCCAUCGGGGGACAGAGAGUCUUUGGGAAGUGGUGUUGAGACAACACCGCAUGAAAAAAAUGGAGAGAAUGGUGGACAACAAAUGGUGCCGUCAGGUGGAGGAGUAGGGGCUGCUGCUCUAGGAGCGGCGUUAGCAAGGGAUGCGAGGGAGAGCUUGGAUUCCGUAAGCAAUAUAGGCGGUGAUCAAUCAAAUUGAAGGGAGUGGUGUGGUAAAAUUACAAAAUGAGCAAAAUGAAGCUAAAGGUUCAUGUGAAGUGCCCGCAGCCAUGGCUAAGAGUGCAGUUGGAUUGAAUGCACUACGUGUGGAGGGAACAAGGGACAUGACUGAGACAUUGGAUCCGGAAGCGAAUAUAAUGGUAGGGUGGCAGAAAGUUGAAGAGAGUUGGGUGGCACAAAGUAAAACUGAACAUCCAUCACGUACAGUUGGACUGGAUGCAAUGAACAUGCAGGUGGGAGCAAGGAGUAUGGAGGAGACCUCUGUAAGUGAUAUAGAGGUGGGGCUAAAG